RNAcentral lists this long non-coding RNA (62060 nucleotides) under Cucumis sativus (cucumber). RNAcentral describes it as "long non-coding RNA (CSAT_LNC001658)". Lineage: Eukaryota; Viridiplantae; Streptophyta; Magnoliopsida; Cucurbitales; Cucurbitaceae. The record is from RNAcentral.
UUUUUUUUUCCAAGUAACCCUUUCACAGUUUUCUGAACAGAAAGAUGCAGUUCAACAACCAUGGUGAGAACUCAGGCAACCAUUAGACAUUUUCAAGGUUUAUGAUGUAUGUGUGUUGAAAACUCUGCUUUGUUUGAGAAGAUAACUGAUCGCGAGAAUAUUGAGGUUCCUUCUCAGUAAAGAGUAUAUAAACAGGAUUUUGAGAUUGUUACAAAAGCAACCAACAGCAGUUUACACUAUUGCUAGUUGAGCUAGAGUUGACUAAUAAAAGAUCUACAGCUGACCAUUGAUCCUAUGCUUGGGCUAACUAAAAUAGAGAAACUAAAAUAAAUAGUUGUAGCCAAAAGUAGUGCAAAUGUUGAAUACCAAAAACCUGUUUUGAAAUUUAGGGAAGGACUGAAUUUGAAAGCUGUUGAAUGAACUAAAGAUAAAAAGUUCAUUCCAAAUAUUUUGUAAUAGACCAAAAACUAUCACAAUAUUGCCAGAAAUCUUGUGCAUCAUGACAGAAGGAUGCAGAUUGCGAUUAGAGCAUCGUUACAUGUCUAAGAAAGUCGACAUCAACAAUACCAUACUGGAACAUACUACAUCCUAUCCCAUCAAAGAAUUUUUGGAGGGGAGAUUUUGAAGAAUCCAACACGAAAGUUUAAUUAAUUUUUUUAAAAAAGGUCCUUUUAUGUAAAACUUUAAGGUGGGGGAUUUGAACUAGGACCUCUUGCCCUCAAAAACAUAUAGAUUGCCCUCAAAAACAUAUAGAUGCCAGUUAAUGAAAGUUUGACUUUUAUUCUAUAUAUAUAUAUAUAUAUAACCCAACUUGAUAGGUGUGUAAAUUUCUAUUAACUAAAAACAUUUUAACUUUUUUUAGAUUCGAUUAGUUUAUCUUUUAAUUAUUUUUCAUUAUAUAGAUCUUUCUAGUUGAGAAUAUCUCCCAAAUUACAGCUAGAAUUUUUGUUGGUAAAUUCCAACUAUAUUAACAUUACUUGCAACUAAUUUUUAUCUUGAAUGGGUAUUAGUGAAUCAAUUUCACCCAAAACUACAAAUCCAUGAAAAUAAAGUUCCUUUAUAUAAAAAAUUAAAACAAAGAGGAAUUAAACAAAGAAUCAAAAUAUUGCAUGUAAGAUUUAGAAAGAAAAAACCGCGACAAUUGAACUUUCCACGUAGAAGUAAGAGUACUCACAUAUUUUGGAGUUGAAAUGCGAAACCAAUAUAGGAGAAAUCCCACCAAUUUUUCAUAACACUCGCUACAUUGAGGGAAAAAACAAUUCCAAGUCAUGAAUACGUAUUGCAUGGUACCAUAAUAACGAUAUCAACUAUGAGAAACAACAAAAUGGAUGGCAAAAGAGCUUUAACCUGAAGUGGUAGGAGACGAGAUACAUAUUUGAAAUGAAAAUAAUAUUUUUCAUCAGACUAUAACCUUAUAACCUUACUAGUCUAUGUGGAUGAUAUUCCAAAAAAGUGAGGAUCCAUAUUGCACAGGCCAUCCAUACUGAGUUUAAAUUAUUAGUUAUAAUCAUAUCUAUCCAUCAAUGUUUGAAACACGAUACUAGGCCACCAAUAACCAAUACGUAUAGGAGGGGCAAGAAAGGAAUUACAGGCUAGACAACAUGGUAGAUAGAGACCUGUCAGUGGUCCUUGCACCACGUGGCAGCAGUAGAAGGGAAGUAUAUAUGCAGGUGUUGUGUGUUAGGGUUGGGCAUUCUGAAUAUUGUGUGUAUUUUGAAUGAACUGAGUUUCAUUGGGAGGACAGCUCUCUUAUUUGGCUGGAACCAUCCUGACUUCUUGGUAUUUUGUGUUAAUAGUUAUAAAUCGUAUAUCAACUAUUCCUUGUUUGAGUAGCUGGAUAGGAAUAUCUCUGUUUGGUGUAUGUUUCUGGAUUGAGAUUCUGCAGGUAUCGUGGAAGCAGAGCUGGUCGACAUCCUGGGGAAGUGGAAGAAAAUGACAAAAAAUAAUCGAAGAACGUUUGGACGCUUCGGAAGUUGAGAUCGAAGCGAUUAAAAAGGAAGUUCACAGGUUACCGAUUUUGGAGAAAACGAUGGAAAAAAUGCACGCAAUGUUAACAGAAAUGUGUGAAGACCGUCAACAGCAUCAGGGAGAAUCGAAACUGACCGGUGUAAGCACCGACAAGAGGAAACUUAGAACAUAAGACAUUAACGAAGGAGAUGAGGAAGGAGAAACGUCUCUGAGUUUGAAACCAGGGGUGGGGUAGGUUCGCAUCAAGAUUAAAAAAACGGAGAUGCUUGUUUUCAUCAGGGAAGACCCAGAUGGUUGGAUUUAUUGGGUAGAACAAUAUUUUCAGAUGCACUUACUGAAUGACAAGAGAAGCUGAAAAUUGCGAUAGUCAGUAUGGAAGGGAAAUGGUUGUGCUGGUUUCGUUGGACGGAAAAUCGGAAGUGUUUUUGAUCGUGGAAAGAAUUGAAGGAACAAAUGUACAAUCGAUUCCGUUGUCAAGAGCAUGGGACUAGUUGUGGGCGAUUUUUGGCCAUAAAACAAGAGAGUUCGGUGGGAGAUUACCUGCAAUGCUUUGAGGAAUUAUUGGCGCCGUUACCGGAGAUGGUCGAGGACGUUUUGGUAGGGACAUUUAAGAACGGUCUGGACCCAGUGAUUAGAACGGAGGUUUUCGCAAUGCGGGUUGUAGGCCUGGAAGAUAUGAUGGAUGCGACCCGGUUAGCUGAGGAGAAAUUAGAAAUGGCUCUGGCUUCUCACGGCCCAUAUGCAAAAGAUGGAAAACCAGCCUAGAAACAAGGGGCAAAAAUUUGAGAAAACCCUACAACAAAAAUCGUGAUAUUAGCCCAAAGGGUUCCCGCACAUUCACCUACUCCGAUCACUUCACAAGUCAUCGCAUCUAGAAGUGGGGUUUGGCGAGAAUACUUUUCGAAGAUGGACUGAUUCUGAGUUGCAAGCAAGGUGUGACAAGGGGCUUUGUUAUCGGUGUGACGAACCGUUUAGUAAAGGACACCGCUGCAAAAACAAAGAGCUCCACCUUUACCUGGUAGCAAAUGAUUUAGAGGACACAAAGAUGGAAUACGUCGAGCAUGAGGACGCAAUGGUUAAAGACGGUUGUGGAAUUAUCCAUGAAUUCAGUGGUGGGACUGACAACUCCAGAUACGUUCAAAAUUAAAGGAACAGUGGAAGACAGAGAGAUAGUAAUCAUGGUGGAUUGUGGAGCAACCCACAAUUUAUAUCACUCAAACUGUUAGAUGGUCUGAAAUUGCCAAUGACUGAAAUGACCAACUACAAUAUCAUUAUAGGAUCCGAAAAGGCAAUGUAAGGCCGAGGAAUGUGCAAGGGCAUCACCGUAGGUCUGCCAGUGUUGACUAUGAGUAGAGGAUUUCUUACCGUUGGAAUUGCAACUUAGAUAUGGUACUUGGGAUGUAGUGGCUCGGAGAGCAAGGUGCUAUGACCGUCGAUUGGCUUUAACCAUGACCUUCGUUGUCAGGGACACUAAGAUAAUCUUGAAAGGAAACCCCUCACUGACCAGAAUGGAAAUAUCCUUGAAAAUGCUAGUUAAAACGUGGCAACCAGACGAUCAAGGAUCUUUAUUUGACUUCAGGGCCAUGGGAAUUUCAAAGGCCGAUCGGAUGUUGGUUGCAGCAGAAUCAAUAGAAGUAGUCCAACCCGAAAUGGAACAACUCCAAGCUCUAAUGAAUUAAGUUUUCAGAACACAUGAAGGUCAUUACAAGUUCCUAGUUAUGUCGUUCGGCCUCACGAACGCUUUGACGACAUUCCAAGCUCUAACAAAUCAGGUUUUUAGACCCUACUUGCAUAAAUUUUUGCUGGUAUUUUUUUAUGAUAUUUUGGUUUACAGCAAAGAUGUUCAUUUAGAGCACCUCACCUUGGUGUUCCAAUUACUUCGGCAACAUAGUCUCUUCGCUAAUCGAAAGAAGUGCCAAUUUGCAAAAGACCGAAUUGAGUACUUGGGUCACUGGGUUUCAGCAAAAGGAGUGGAAGCUGAGCAACAGAAGAUUAAUUGGAAUGGCCAAUUCCAAAAAAUGUGAGAGAAUUAUGAGGUUUCUGAUAGACCCCCAAUUAUACACCAGUACAGUAGAAGGAAGAAGAAGCAAGGAUAACUGCACGUGCCAGGGAGAAUAGCUUUAAUAUUGUUAGUAGACAUUUUCGUAAUAAAAGAAUAGAAUAUAAAUAGGAGUUUGUUAUGGAGAGAGAAAGUUAGUUAGAAUUUUGUGGGUAAACUCAGGCUUUUCCUAGAGAGAAAGGAGAGCAUAGGAGAGUCCCUUGUUUCCGAAUUGAGGCAUCCUCAAUUCGUUUUAGAUUGUAAUUUCGCUAGUCUUUUGGCAUUAUUACUAUCGUAACAAGGUUGAUCCUACUUGAUCGGGUUUGAUCAAGAGGAGUUUCAUCAUUUGGUAUCAGAGCUUGUCGAAUCUGGGCAAGGAGAGAACUAUGGUUCACACGCGAUCGGAAGAGAGAAUGGAAGUUCACAAUCAGGAAAUGUUGCUGAUUAAGAAAGAAGCAAGUAAAAUUCCGGCGAUCGAAGAAAGCUUAACGACGAUCAGUCAACAAACUGAAAAGACACAUCAAAUGUUGAUGAUACUCAUGGAUUCUAUUGCAAAAGAACGAACGACAACCAGUGAGAAGUUGUCAGACUACAGCGCACAGGAAACCGGAUGCAAGAAAAAUAAUGAAGGAGAGAGUUCGACAAGUAGAAGAGGUGAGAACGAAACGAAGGAGAGGACUCAGGACGAAGAAGGUGCAAAUGAAAGAAACAAAUUUAAGAAGGUCGAAAUGUCAGUAUUCAAUGGCGAGGAUACGGACUCGUGGCUAUUCCCCGCCGGUCGGUACUUCCAAAUCCACAAACUAAGCAAUACGGAGAAGGUUUUGGUGGCGACCAUCAGUUUUGAAGGCCCAACGUCAUCUUUUUGUGUUUCUUGUGGUACCGAGCACAAGAACGCGAUAAGUUUACAGGAUGGCCAAAUCUUAAGGAGAGAUUGCUUGUGCGAUUUCGAUCGUCGAGAGAAGGAUCCAUCUACGGGCAAUUCUUAAGGAUUGAACAACAAACCACAGUGGAAGAAUAUUGCAAUGAGUUCGAUAGGUUGAUGGCACCACUCGCUGACCUACAAGAUCAUGUGGUAGAGGAGACGUUUAUGAACGGAUUGUUCCCGUGGAUCAAAUCUGAGGUAGUUUUUUGUAAACCGGUCGGUUUGGCCGAGAUGAUGCACGCGGUUCAACUCGUGGAGAACCGGGAGAUCAUUCGUAAUAAGGCAAACCUAAACGGUUAUGCCAAAGGUAAAUACCCCCUUUCAAACUCUUCAAACAUCAAAAGUAGUGCAACGAUGAAUAACAGUGAGAACAAAGGAAAUACCAUAUUUCCAAUGAGGACGAUGACAUUAAGAACAAUGGCUGGAGAAGUUAAGAAAGAAGGCCCGACGAAGAGACUACCCGAUGCAGAGUUUCAAGCCCGAAAAGAGAAGGGACUCUAUUUUCGUUGUAAUGAAAAGUAAUUUCAUGGUCAUCGAUGUAAAGGAAAGGAGCAAAGGGAACUAAGAAUGUAGUGGUGAAGGAAGAUGAGGAAUAUGAAAUUGUGAAGGAAGCGGAAUGUGAUGAGACAUAAUUGAACUGUGUUAAGAUAGCUCCAGAAGAUCAGGCUAUCGUUGAACUUUCCAUAAAUUCAGUGGUUGGGCUGACGAAUCCAGGAACGAUGAAGGUGAGAGGAAAGAUUAAAGAUAGAGAAGUGAUUAUCCUAAUCGACUAUGGAGUGAUCCAUAACUUCAUCUCGAACAAAGUGGUGCAGGAACUGAGUUUACCAACGAAGACUACUUCCCACUAUAGAGUGAUUUUGGGCUCAGGUGCAGCUGUGAAGGGAAAAGGAGUGUGCGAAGACAUAGAGCUAAAACUGGAGGGAUGGAAAGUGGUAGCAAAUUUCUUACCACUUGAGUUGGGAGGAGGGAUGGAAAGUGGUAGCAAAUUUCUUACCACUUGAGUUGGGAGGAGUAGAUGGAGUGCUAGGAGUUCAGUGGUUGUAUUCAUUGGGAAUAACAGAAGUGGAUUGCACAAUCUUAUCCAUGACUUUUCUACACAAUGGGAAGAAAGUGAUAAUCAAAAGAGACCCCAGCUUAACCAAAGACAUGGUUGGUCUCAAGAACAUGAUUAAGUCAUGGAAGGAUUCUGAUCAAGGAUUCUUAAUUGAGUGCAGAGUAAUGGAGACAGUGUAUGAGGAGGUACUAACCGUGGAAGAGGCGGUUUCAGUUGUCCUGAAGAAAUUUGAAGAUGUCUUUACAUGGUCGGAAACUCUACCUCCACGAAGGAGUAUUGAGCAUCACAUCUAUUUGAAACAAGAAACUGACCCGGUCAAUGUGAGGCCGUACCUCUAUGGAUACCAACAAAAGGCUGAGAUGGAAAGAUUGGUGGAAGAGAUUCAAAGUUCAGGGGUUAUUCGCUCAAUUAUACAUCAGUACAGUAGAAGGAAGAAGAAGCAAGGAUAAUCGCACGUGCCAGGGAGAAUAGCUUUAAUAUUGUUAGUAGAUAUUUCCAUAAUAAAAGAAUAGAGUAUAAAUAGGAGUUUGUUAUGGAGAGAGAAAGUUAGUUAGAAUUUUGUGGGUGAACUCAGGCUUUUCCUAGAGAGAAAGGAGAGCAUAGGAGAGUCCCUUGUUUUCGAAUUGAGGCAUCCUCAAUUCGUUUUAGAUUGUAAUUUCGCUAGUCUUUUGGCAUUAUUACUAUCGUAACAAGGCUGAUCCUACUUGAUCGAGUUUGAUCAAGAAGAGUUCCAUCAGUUUCUUGGGGUUGACUGGUUACUAUCGACGUUUCGUAGCAAAUUAUGGUGCUAUCGCCACUCCCCUAACUCGGUUGACAAAGAAAAACAGUUUCCGUUGGACAGAAGAUGCAACCAAAGCAUUUGAGUCACUGAAGAAAGCUAUGGUCACAUUACCAGUCCUAGCACUACCAGAUUUCCAAUUGCCAUUCAAAAUAGAAACAGAUGCUUCAGGGUUCGAUCUUGGCACAAUUUUAUCACAUAACAAGAGACCCAUUGCAUACUUUAGUCAGAAACUAUCAGAGACAGCCAAGGAAAAGUCUAUUUAUGAAAGAGAGCUGAUGGCAAUUGUAUUAGCCGUUGACAAAUCGUGACAUUACUUGUUGGGACAUCGUUUUGUUGUAUAUACUAGCCAAAAGGCCUUGUGGCACAUCUUGGAGCAAAGGGAGAUUUUACCAGGCGCUCAGAAAUGAAUGAUGAAAUUGAUCGACUUUGAUUUUGAAAUCUUUUAUCGAACAGGACCGGAGAACAAGGCAGUCGAUGCUCUUUCGUGGAUUUCGAUGGAGGCACAAUUGAAUGUGAUUAGUGUGCCGUCCUUGUUGGAUCUCGAGGCCGUUGAGAAAGCAGUUCAAGAGGAUAAGAAGCUGAAAAAUAUAUUUGACCGAGUGGAUCAGGACCCAGAAUGUGUGCCUCGUUAUUUGGUACGCCAUGGCAAAUUAUUCUUUGGUCCUCACAAGGACAUCCAGCUUGAUUUCGACCAUCCUACACACCUUCCAUGAUUCUGUGGUUGGGGGCCAUUCGGGGCAGUUACAGACAUAUAAAAGAAUUGCAGCGGAAUUGUUUUCGGAAGGAAUGAAGAGUGAUAUCAAGAUUUAUGUUGAUCAGUGUCCGGUUUGCCAACAAAACAAAAUACAAGCCUUGUCUCCAGUCGGUUUGUUGCAGCCUCUUCCCAUUCCCAACAGAACUUGGGAAGAUAUAUCAAUGGAUUUUAUAGAAGGCUUGCUGCACUCCAAGGGAUUUGACACGAUCCUUGUGGUGGUUGAUCGCCUCAGCAAAUACACUCACUUUUUAACCUUGGGACACCUAUUUUCAGCCAAAACAGUAGCCACACUGUUCAUAAAAGAAGUUGUUUGUCUCCAUGGGUACCCCUGCUCCAUUAUAUCCAAUUGGGAUCGUAUGUUCUUGAGUCACUUUUGGAAAGAGAUGUUCCGUUUGCAAGGAACCCAAUUGAAGAGAAGUACUGCUUACCACCCACAAACGGAUGGGCAAUUGGAAGUUGUGAACAAGAGUGUAGAGUUGUACUUGCGAUAUUUUUUUCAUGAAAAACCAUAGACGUGGAGGGAAAAAAUAGCAUGGGUUGAGUAUUGGUACAACACCACCUACCACGCCUCCAUAAAAAAAUACUUGAAUCCACAUGUCCCAACUGUAGUAGGCAGUGGGAGACAAGCAUCAUGUACAGCCAGACAUUUCCCUGCUCAACGACCAAAUGGAAUUAGUGCUAGAGCCAGAAAAUGUGACUGAACUGCACUAGAAUGAUACCGAACGUGAAUGGGAGUAUUUAGUUAAGUGGAAAGAUCAACCAGCACAUGAAGCCACUUGGGAAUCUUAUGCGAUGUUAAAAAGCCAAUACCUCGACUUCCACCUUGAGGACAAGGUGUCUCUUCUCUAGGGGUAUUGCUAGGCCACCAAUAACCCAUAUGUAUAGAAGGAGGGGCAAGAAAGGAAUUACAGGCUAGACAACAUGGUAGUUAGAGAUGUCAGUGGUCCUUGCACACCACGUGGCAGCAGUAAAAGGGAAGUAUAUAUGCAGGUGUUUUGUGCUAGGGUUGGGCAUUCUGAAUAUUGUGUGUAUUUUGAGUGAACUAAGUUUCAUUGGGAGAGGACAGCCCUCUUAUUUGGCUGAACCACUGUGACUUUCUGGUAUUUUGUGUUGAUAGUUAUAACUCGUAUAUCAACUAUUCCUCUUUGAUAUUUAUGUGUUUGAGUAUCUCGAUAGGAAUAUCUUUGUUUGGUUUAUGUUUUUGAAUUGAUAUUCAUGUUUUUGAAUUGAUAUUCUGCAGAUAUCGUGGAAGCCUACCAACGACAUUGCUGAGAUUUCAAAAUUUUAUAGUUAUACAUAUAAAAAGGUUGAAGAAAUAUCAAAAAACAAAUAUGCAUGCAUUCAAAUACAUACAAUCAUACAAAACCCAAUCACAUACGAAAGAUAAGAUGAUGAUCCGUAUAAACCCACACUUACAAAGGCAUAUUCCAGCAAGGGUAGAAAAGGAAUUUCAGCUUCAACCGAUGAUUAGAAUGGAUAGUGUUUGACAGUUAAUGUAUUUAUUAAAAGUUGAGUUAUAAUUUCUUAGGCAGCUACGUUUGUCUUUUCUUUAAAAAAAUUCUAUAUUCUGCAGAAUGAUUUUUCUUUUGGAAGUCAUUUUGUACUGUUGGGAGAGAAGAUUCCCUCCCAUACUGGUCUGGUCCAUUGCAGUAGAUUGCAAUCUCUGUGUUUUCAUUAAUAGUAAAAAAAUAGAGAUACAUAUCUGUUAGACGUGUGAAGAUAAAUCUAAUGUCAUAUCAUAUAACAGCGUGCAUGUUCUCAAGCUUAGUUGUAGUUUUUCUGCUAAAGCCUUGGUUUGGAAAAGUUCACCGGGUUAUACAGAAUAAGUCUUUUGCUUGGACUGCUCACUUUGUUUUAGCUUCAGUUCAAGCCUCUUCACAUUUGAUCUGGAUUGUUUUUAUUUCUCCUACUUAAUCCUUUUCUUUUCUUUGUAGUAGUUUGGUAAUUGUGGUAUUUUAUUUUGGUCUUUAGUAUUUUGAGCAGUAGUCUCUUUUUAUUUUAGAGUGAAAAACUUUGUUUUCUUUUCAAUAUAAAAUUGAACUGAAAGAAAAGAAAAGAUUACUAUAUAAGAUGGAUGCAAUUUCAAGGGAUGAGGGUUUUUUAUUGCCCCAUAUCAAAAGGAAGCCUUUACAAAAUCAAUACAACAUAUGAGAUGUGAACUGUAUCAUCAAGAAGUGUAGAUAUACUACUCAAUACUUUCGAAGUGGAAAAAGACACUCAAUUUCCUUGCAUGAAUUCAAAUGUAAAAUAAGAAAGAAAUAUGAAACCGACUUACUGGCAAAUAGGCGUCUCUGCAGUUAUCAUCUCUGCAUGGUUUAGAGGCAUUCGAGUUCGAUCUGAUUUGUAAUUUAAGAUUACUAUAUUAAUACACUCAUUUGUACUAUAAAAUAAAUUAAUAAAAUAACAAACAAAAGAAAUUAUAAGAUGUCCUUCACGAUAUAUAUUGAUAACAGAGUUUGCCCUAAGGUGAAACAAAGUGUCCCAACUUAUUAGAAGAGAGCUGGUAACCUGAUCUUUCCUCUCCACUUGCUACAACAAUUCACAAAAAACAUAAAAGCAACGUAUACACAACCUAUAAUCCAAGUGGUCCCCCCUCACAUUCCUUAUUCUAUCAUGUGUGGCUAGCGAUUUAUUCUACUCCCCCUUCGUGCAUAAUAAUUUGUUGAAAGAACUGAGGGCUCAGUUCUUCCUCGAGAAUGUUGAAUUUAUUGCAAGAAGAACCAUCAAAGAUUAUGUUAAACAAUUCUCCGUUGUUAUGUUGGACAUGCGAGACAUGUCGGAAAAGGAUAAAAUAUUCUGCUUUGUAGAAGGGCUCAAACCGUGGGCCAGGACAAAUUUAUAAGAACAGAAAGUACAAGAUCUCGCCUCUACCCUUGCCGUCACAGAAAGAUUGUUAGACUACGGUGGCAACCAAGGGUCCCAAAUGAAGAAUGUACCAACAUUGAAUCCCAAGAAGAGGGUCUCCAAGCCUAAUCCCCCAAGAAACUUCGCUAAUGACAACAAACUGUAGAUCCCAAGCACUAGUACUCCUCGUGGGGCACAUCAGUCAAGUUCAAAUCAAAUAAGACCAAUUUCUUGCUUCUUGUGUAAAGCCAUCGAGUAGCCGAAUGUCUAGAUUGGAGCACGCUAACAGCAUUACAAGCAUCUGUACAGUUUUCUAACGAUUCCGAGGUAGAAACUAAAGUGGAAAAGGAAGAUGAGGGGGAGACUCCACGAAUGGGUGCAUUAAAAUUUAUCGCCAAUUUAGAAGGUCUCACCAAAAAAUGCUUUCAAAAAGGGAUUCAUGUUUGUCGACGUAGUCAUCAACUCCAAACCCACAAAAGGCACCAUGGUAGAUUCAGAUGGAACUCACAAUUUCAUUUCAGAAAAGGGGCGUGUCGGUUGGAGUUGAAAAUCGAGAAAGGCAUUGGCAAGAUGAAAGUUGUUAAUUCGAAGCUUUGCCAAUUGUUGGAGUGUCAAAAAGGGUAUCUCUAAAACUAGGUGAAUGGAGGUGAGACGUUGAUUUAGUAGUGGUUUGUACGGAUGACUUCGAUGUUGUACUCGGUAUGGAAUUCCACUUGGAAAAUAAAGUCAUUCCCAUGCAACUGGCUCAGUGUCUGGUAUUAACGAGCAGUAAUCCUACAUUGGUCCAAGCAAAGAUCAAGCAACUGAGUGGGUGAGAAUGAUUUCGGUCCUACACUGGAAAAGGGGCUUAGUAAAGAGGAAUCGACUUUUAUAGCUAUCUUGCUGGUGGAUGAGCAAAUUGAAGCUGAUCCUAUACCAAUAGAGAUCCAGGAAUUUCUGAACAAAUACGUUGGUAUAAUGUCACCUGGUCUGCUGAAAACAUUGCCUCCUCGAUGGGGGAUUGAUCACGAGAUUGAACUUGUCUCAGGAGCCAAAACCCUAGCAAAUAAUGCCUAUUGAAUGGCUCCACCUAAGUUAGUUGAACUCAAGAAACAAUUGGAUGAGUUGUUGACUGCCAGAUUCAUCAGACCAACAAAGUGCCGUAUAGGGCCCUUGUGUUGUUUCAAAAGAAGAAAGACGGAACAUUUCGACUGUGUAUAGACUACGGAGCUUUGAACAAAGUUACGGUUCAAAACAAGUACCCCUCCAAUUUGUUUGAUCAAUUUAAUGGAGCUCAGUACUUUACGAAGCUCGACCUCUGAUCAACCUAUUACCAAGUUCAAAUAGCAUAAGGGGAUGAAUCGAAGACUACUUGCAUAACAAGGUAUGGGACCUUCGAGUUCCUCGUAAUGUCCUUUGGCUUGACAAACACCCCUGCAACCUUCUGCACCCUGAUAAGUGAUAAACCAGGUAUUCCACGAGUAUCUAGAUCAGUUUGUGGUAGUCUAUCUUGAUGACAUUGUGAUUUUCAGUUCUUCACCUUUGAUUAGGUUUAACAAGCUUUGGCAGAAUCAAUUAUAUGUAAAGAAAGAGAAGUAUGCUUUUGGCCAACAACAUAUCAAUUUUUUAGAUCACGUUAUUGAAUAUGGAAAAAUUCAAAUGGAUGAGGAUAAGUUACACUCCAGGAAUGGAGAGCUUCCACUUCUGUGACAAAAUUAUGCUCCUUAGGAUUGGCUAACCACUGCCGUCAGUUCAUUGAAGAAUUUUCAAGCGGGUUGCACCGUUGAUAGAGUUGCUGAAGAAAGGUACGACCUGAAAACUACCUUUGAUGAACUAAAGAUGACAAUGAUGAAGGGUUCUGUCCUCGGAUUGGUUGAUGUGUCUAUGUUGUUUGAAUUCGAAACCAAUUGCAUCAGAUUUUGCUCUCGGGGGCGUCCUUACCCAAGGAGGUCACCCCAUAGCUUACGAGAACCGAAAGCUCAAUAAUGUUGAAAGAAGGUAUACUAUCUCCGAGAAAGAAAUGCUUGCAAUGGUCCAUUAUCGGAGGGCCUGAAGGCUAUUUAUUAGGCACCCUUCAUUGUGAAAUCUGACAACGCUAUUUGUCGCUUCUUCAGCUAGCCAAAGUUGACCUCUAACAAGCGAGGUGGCAGAAAUUUUUUGCUGAAUUCACCUUCAAAUUCAAGCACAAGUAAGGAACAAGAAAUCAAGCUGCCAACGCUCUUAGUCAUAAAGGCCAACAUGCAACACUGUGUAGCUAACCCCCAUUCAUAUAAGUAAAGUUGAUGCAUCGAUGCGCAAUAUCAUUAGGGAGUUCAUUCAGAAGGAUCCCUCUACCCCAACUAUUAUUGCUCUAGCCAAACUCGGUAACACAAGAUAGUUUUGGGUCGAAGAAGAUCUGUUAUUAACAAAAGGAAACCGGUUGUAUGUUACAAGAGCAUGUGAUCCGAGGAAAAGGUUACUACAUGAGUGUCAUGACACCUUAUGGGGGGCAGUCAUCCUGUGUGAUAGAGAGGUAUGCACUUGUAACGUCCCAAAAUUUGAGGUAUUUAUUCUCAACCUAAUUGUCUUAUUUUAUUAGGAUUUUAAAUUUUGGGUGUUAUGUUCUUGGAGUUUGGUGAGAAAAAGAGAGAUUUUGUUAUAAAGAAAAAGAAAGGGAAAAAAAAAAGAAAAAACAAAAAAAAAAAAGAAAAGGAAAGGAAAAGGAAAAGGAAAGGAAAAAAAAAAAGAAAAAGAAAAAAAAAGGAAAUAAUAAUAUAAUAAUAUAUUAUUAUUAUUAUGUUCUUAAUUUCUCCUUGGUGCGCAUGCAAAUCAAUUUCAACUUUUCUUCUUCUUCUUCUUCUUCGUAUUUCUCGAGCGCCGCCCCUUGGGUUUCUCUUUUCUUCUUCAUAUUUCAGCCACCAUCGCCCUCUGUUUUUCGAUCCACUCCGGCUGUUGUCUUCCAUUCGAGUUGUUCGUUCAGUCAGUUACUUUCCAUCGUCGUCGCAUCUUUAUUGUCUCAAUUGGUGAGAUUGGUUGAGUUUUAAUGUGAAAUUUUUUGUAGGUUUUCUUUUACCCAUUAACGUUCAACUAUUGGCUCUUAAAUAAAGAUAUUUUGGACUCUCUUUAAGGACUAAGUGGAAACUCUUGAAGUAUUUUGGGUUUUACUGUCGAGGGUUGAGUUGGAUCCAACAUCAAUAUUGGGUAAGCUAAAUUGGAAAGAAAAAUUUGGGUGUGGACUAAAAUUAUUAAUUUCUUAUCAUUAUGUUUAGGAUUGUCUUGUUAGGUUUUAGUUCAACUAAGGAAUUUAGCUAAGCUUGAAGUAAGGGAUUUCUACUACUGGACCCUAUAUUGAAGUUGGAAUGUAUUGACUGAAAGGGCUUGCAUGCUAUAUGUAGAUUUGAAUGUGUUGAUGGAUUACACUGAACUGAGAUGGUUUGACUGUUAUGUAGAUUUGAAUGUGUUGAUUGAUGACUCGUACUGUUGACUGAAUUGUGAUAUGCACUAGUGUAUUUAUUUUUUAUUGACCAUGUGUAGAGAAGGAGAAAUGUUGAUAGUUUUAAUUGUACUUUCAUGUGACUAUCAUGAACUGUUUGGACUGAAUUAGGGGAAAACUGUUAACUUUAUCUAUGGGUAGUGUACCUUGCACGGUGUCCUACAGGAUCACCACUUGUGCAUCCUUCAGGAUCACUAGACUGAUGUGUGCAUCCUUCGAGAUCACUAGACUUAUGUGUGCAUCCUUCGGGAUCACUAAACUGAUGUGUGCAUCCUUUGGGAUCACUAAACUAAUAUGUUCAUCCCUCGGAAUCACUAGACUGAUUGACGUGUAACCUACUAGAUCACAAGAUUGUUAUGGUGCAGGGUACCUCCUAAUAGAAAGUUAACCAUUUUUACCCCUAACGGGACAAGUAGUGGGUCUCUUAUUGGAUAUAUUUUAUACUCACCCUUUUCAUGUUUAACUUUUUCAGGCAAAGGUAAUACGAGAGGUAGACCGGAGAGGGGCAAGAAGGACUUGUGAUCGCCAUAUGGGAACACUCUUUCAAAAUGCUUCCGGUUAACGAUUUUGCUGUUUUUAAGUUUUGAUGAUUGAAAUGAACUUUCAUGUUUAGAACAACUGUUUGUUUGUUGGUGACUUUAUAAAUGAUACUUUUGAAUUUUUGUUUUGUUUGAAAUAGGGCCCGAAUAAAGUUUCUUGGAUGUCUAUUUGAUUUUAAAUAUAUUAAUGAACUUUUAUGUUUAAACAAUGUCUUUGUGUUAAAGCAGUAAUGACCUCAGCUUAGUCUGAAAAGUUAGGUCUUUACAACACUGCUGAAUAAAGGCUACUUUUGGCCUAAUAUGCGAGAUGAUAUCAUGCAGUAUAUGAAGGCAUGCCUCAUUUGUCAGCAAGAUAAGGUCGAGAAGGUGAAAGUUGUUGGGCUUCUUGAAACCUUACCUGUUCCGACGAGAUCGUGGGAGAGUGUCUCCAUGGACUUUAUUACACAUCUCCCAAAGGUGGGCGACCUUAAGGCCAUCUUGGUUAUCAUCGAUCGAUUCUCGAAGUAUGCCACUUCCAUCCCUACUACCAAACAAUGUUCUGUCGAGUUGACAACAUAGUUGUUCUUUAAGCAUGUCAUGAAGUUGUAGAGAGUCUCGAAGUUGUGAAGGGAGUCUCGACAAGCAUCGUGAGCAAGUUAUUUACCUUCUUGGAGACGAGUCUGAAUAUAUCCUCAAGCCACCACCCUCAGACUGAUGGCCACACCGAACGAUUCAAUUGUAUGCUCAACAAGUAUCUAUGCCAUUUUGUUGAUGCAAGACAAAAGCAUUGGGUCCAGUUGCUAGAUGUGGCUCAAUUCUGUUUCAACGCUCAAACUAGUUCGUCAACGGGGAAGAGUCCCUUCGAAAUUGUAAGUAGAAGACAAGCCUUAUUAUCUAAGAUUGUUGGUCAUCCUUAUGCAGGGAAAAAUCCACAAGCUCACAGCUUCGCGGAAGACUGGAAGCAGACUACAGACAUUACUCAAGCUUACUUAGAGAAAGCCUCGAAGCAUAUGAAAAAGUGGUAUGAUAAAAAGCAGUGCCCUCUCAAAUUUCAAGUAGGAGAUCAAGUUCUCAUCAAGCUAAACGUAGAGCAAAUUUGGUUUAGAGGGUGCAAAGAUCAGCGUCUCGUCAGAAAAUAUGAUGGGUCUGUAGAAGUCCACAAGAGGAUAAGAAAUGCAUCGUAUAAGGUGGCAUUACGUGCAUGGAUGAAAAUCCAUCUAGUAAUCAAGUGAGCAACUUAAAACCCUACCACCAAAAUCGUAACGAUAAGCGACGCAACAAUAUUGCUCGACCAUGCAUUGACCUAAAGCAAAAGGAAGAUAAAGAAGUUGAAGAGAUACUUGCAGAACGAGCAAGGAAGGGUAGCAGGCCCAUGAGGAGAAUCCAAAUGGAAGAACCUACAAUGCUUUCUUUAAUGAUGUUUUCAAUGCUUAUCUUUCUGUCUCACGUUUUAUAAAACCAUUUUCUCUCAAAAUGUGAAGGGAGGCUAUAUCAUCCUACAAGUUUGCCGAUGACUUUUGGAUUUAGUACAGCUGACUGGUUCAUCGAGUUAGAACAGGUGCGGCACAAUCGCCCGUCCCGUAUUCAAAAGGUUGCGAUUGUGACACCUAGCAACAUGUGGAAUAACAAUUUCUACAAUUUUUUCAUUAUUUUAUAACGAUUAUCAUUACACACUUCCAUUGUUUGAAAAAUGCCCCUCCAUAUGCUUUUUUGCCCGUGGGAGAAGCCCAUAGAAGAACAUUGCAAAAAUGGAACAUCUUUUCUGCAGUUUCUCUUACAUUGUCACUAGGUGGAAUUUCUUACUUUUUGUUGAUUCAGCAAUGCUAAGUUUUAAGAUUUGGGUCCUUUUGCUCUAUAGUCUAGGUGGAAUUCUUUCAUGCAAUAUAUAUAUAUAUUUUUAAGUUUUAAAGUACUAUUCCAAACAACUUUUGAGUCAGUAGCGAUAUACAAAAGCAUCCUUGAUUCCAAAAAUAAAUAAAUAAAAAACAAAGUUGGAAAAAACCUACCAAUUUCUCUGUUGCUAAACCUUACAAUCCAUUCCGAGAUGACAUCUUGCAAUGUUUUACCCAUCUGACUAAUGCACCUCCCCGUAAUCUAAGAGCCAAAAUGUGAAUCAAAUCAUCUACUUAAUAGCAAAGCCGGGAAAUCUUCUUAAUCAAUAAGGAGAUACAGAUCUUACAUCCUGUUCAUGCCGAUUAUUUUCAUGUGUCAACUGUGGAAUUCUUGAGAUUGUACGUCUGGAGAUCUGCAUUACACAUAAAAGUAUAAGAGAACCCUCCAACUCUCCAGUUUAAUGUGAGCUUACGUCUAAAUAAUUACAAAAUAAAAUGGAAACAAAACUUCAUUUUUGCUUGCCACAAUGUAAAGGACAAGCAGUAACAAGCCUUGACAGAUACCCAACGAAAUAAGUAAAAGAAAUCAAAGAGACCAAGCAAUAACAGCACAUACUGGUUUAAAAGUUUCGGGACUGCAAGUGGCGUAUAUAUCACUUCUUUGUAAACUCUGAGCUUCCCAAUAUGCACCACAAAAUGCUCUAUCACAACCUAAACCUGAAGGAUCAUUUGACUUUUAAGUUUGGGCAAGAAAUAAAAAUAUACUAUUCUUAAUUCCAACGCUGCAAUGAACACAAAAAGCUCACAACUACACAAAAUAGAGAUGGAAAACGUUAAUUUUGUAACACAUCACCAAUUCAAACUAGUCCCAAGAUUCUGCCCCACACAGAUCCCUCAAGUUAAUGCACAAAAAUUUCAUGAAUUCAAAAUCCAAGUUUUAUUCAAACUUCAUUGGAAACUUAAAUCUCUGUAAAAUCUAUCCUAGAGAAAUAUAAGAUUAAGAUUGACUUCAUACAAUAUGAACAACUUUCAUCAACAAAAACUGACGAGCCUCUUGAACUUGAAAUAAUUUAGACUGCAACUGACGUAUCUUUCAUCAAAUCUAUCGUAGAGAAAUAUAAAAUUAAGAUGAACAAGAUAUCAUAUAAACAAAUUUCAUUAACAAAGAAAUAAUGAGUAUUGAACUUGAAAUAAUUUGGACCACGACUGAAGAUCUUUCAUAAAAUGAAGAUAUUAAAAUUAACUUACAUCAUAGCUUACAUCACACUAAUUUGUUGAGUGAAUUCACCAUAAAAUUGCUACAUACACUUAAUUUUCAUAUUGAAGUAAUAUGGAUUAUUUUGAUAUUUAAAGUCAUAAGUUUAUAACAGUCGUCAGUCCACUAGAUGCAUUAUGGUAAACAAACGCAUACUUUUACGUGAUUGUUAGGCAAACGGUUAUGCCCGUGAAGAUAAACAUGAUUGCUAUCAAUGCUUUUAUUCAAUUAUUAACUAUUAAUAGCAACCUGACAACUCUGGUUAUAUCUUCCAAAUCAUUCACACUAACAAGUAGCAUGAUAAUAGCAACCAACAUUUUCAACCAUUCAUUUCAUUUGAUAUUACUCUAUCAUUACAAAUAAUUAAUUUCUGAAUUGGCCUGGUUCUAUACGAUGCUUCAUUAAUGAUAAGAGAUUUUGUUUAGAAUUACUAAAAAAAUAUCCUCUCAAGGGGAGAGCAAAACAAUUUAUCGUUUCUAGAAAUAUAGUUGUCCAUAUCCAAACUACACAGGGAUCACCUUAGGUGAUCUGACAGUAUUCUGACUGUCCAUACGCAACUUUCUUCCUCAUCUAUAUCUACCCACACAAAAAAUAAUCUACGUGACUCUUAAAAUCAUAAUGCAAUCUCUUUGUGAUUAUGAUAGAAAGAUAAGACAAAUGUAUGUAUCUAGCAAUUUGAUAGGUGACCAUAAUGAAAAUCUUAUUCAACUGAAAGGUUUGCCUUAGGGCACUAUAAUUCUUAGCCUCACUAGUAAGCAUGUAACACCCUGAGUUUAGGAAGGAGACAUGAAUGAAUCGGUAUCACAUUUGAAUGAGAGGGAAAAUGAGGACAUGAAAUGAGGAUAUGAAAGUAAUUUUAAGAAAGAAUUGAAAGAAUUAAAAGUUACUACCUAUACCAACAAGGUACACCUUCCUUUUCGGUGGCUCGAUCGUAGGAACUCCAAAAUUAACCGUACUUAGCUUGGAGCAAUUCUAUGUUGGGUGAUCUCUUAGAAAUUCUCCUAGAAUUCAUGUGAGUGAAGACAAAGCAUGCUGAAGUGACUCGUGUUGGUUUGUGGGGAGAACUUUCACUCUAAUGAGUCUUUAAGAUAGUAAGGAUGAUGUUGUCAGGUCGCAGGGGAUGCAGGAGAAUGUCGAAGAUCCGAAUUCCAAAUCCUGGUUCGAAUCCUAUGCCUAGAGCGUUACAGAUGGUAUCAGAGUGGAACCUCUCCCAGUAAGAUGUGAUUUGAGGACGAACCAAGCAGAAGCUCGUGGACAUGGAUAAGAGAGGUAUAAAUAAAUUGCUCUCGGGUCAAUGAAAUAUGAGAGAGUAUUGAAAAUCAAGGUGGUUGAUGAGUUUCUAUAGGAUGAAAGUAUAUUUUCCAUAUUACUUUUAGGUUUCAAGUCCAAGUAAAACAACUUUGUUUAUGAGGGAGACAUGAAUGAACCAAUAUCACAUCUGAAUGAGAAGGAUCCUGAGGACAUGAAAUGAGGAUAUAAAAGUAAUGUUAAGAAAGAUAUAAAAGAAUUAAAAGUUACUAUUUAUACCAGCAAGGUACACAUUCCUUUUCGAUGACUCGAUGAUAGGAACUCCAAAGUUAAACGUCUUUAGCUUGGAACAAUUCUAUGUUGGGUGACCUCCUGAGAAUUUUCCUAGGAUUCAUGUGAGUGAGGACAAAACAUGCUGAAGAGACUCAUGUUGGUUUGUGGGAAGAACUUUCACUCUGAUAAACCUUUAAGACAAUAAGGAUGAUGUUGUCAGCUCGCAGGGAAAUGUCAGGGAUCCAAAUUCCAAAUUCUAGUUUGAAUCAUGGGCCUGGGGCGUUAGAGAACUUCUCCUCUUCCUCUCAACAACAUAAGAGCCAUAUGUGAAAAGCAAAUCUACUGUGACUUCCUUCCCCCAUAUAUACACCCUCUCUCUCCUUUCUCUAAUUGUGGGGAAUGCCAUAUUGCUGUUGAAUGUAAAAGCCACACUCCCCGCUACAUAUGUCAUACCCUUUUUACCCCUCCUUGUAUAUUGUAUAUGCUGAUUAUUUCCUUUUUUGUAUUAUAUUUUAUUGUAAUGAUUGUAUUAUAUUUGCCAAAUUUAUUUUUUCCUUCUUUGUAAUGGGUUGCUCUUCUAUUUAAGAAAACUCUUCUCUCGGUAAAAUAAACAGAAAAUUACAUUCUUUGCCAUGGUAUUAGAGAAGGUUUUGAAACCCUUAAAAAAACCUAAUUUUUUGAAAACAUAAAAAGCCCAAAAACUCAUACAAUCGUUGUCGUCAACUACAACUCAUUGGACAUCGCCGAUAGUGCCAGUGGUUGCUUGCGAUUUUUAGCUGCAAGUAGGUGUUCUUUUUUUGUCUUCACUGUCGUUCGUCGUGGUCCUUGCUGAUUACCCCUUUCUAAGUCUUCUGCCAUUGCCUGUUGCCGUUUGCUACUAACGAGUUUGGUUGGUGUUUCCAGAUUUGCUCUCUCCAUUUUCUGACCUUUGUUGCUUCAAGCCAUGUUGGAUACUAAGUUACCUAUGGCUAAAGUCGACAAUCAUAUCCACUCCAAUAGCCCAACUAUCCAAAUCACCACGAUCCGACUUAAUGGAGAAAACUUUCUUCAUUUGUCACAAAGUGUUAUAUUGUAUAUUCGUGGACAAGGGAAAAUUGGCUACAUUAUGGGUAAGAAAACUGCCCCAAAACUAGACGACCCUUUGUUUGCUGCAUAGGAUGCUGAAAACUCCAUGGUUGAAGACAUCAAAUGUAAUUACAUGUGCUACCCUAUAGCCAAGGAAUUGUGCAAUAGUGUGACACAGAUGUACUUUGAUUUAGGCAAUCAAUCACAAGUAUUUUAGUCCAAUCUCAAAUUAGUAGAUAUAUGCCAAGGAGGUAACUCGGUGACACAAUACUUUCACCUCCUAAAAAAUAUUUGGCAAGAGUUCCAUCUCCUUGAUUCAUACGAGUGGAAGUCUACAAAUGUUCGAAAGCAUUACAGGAAAAUUGUACAAAACAAUCGUAUUUACAAGUUCCUUGCCGGCCUUAAUGUUGAAUUUUAUGAGGUUAGAGGUCGAAUACUUGGGAAAAUCACUCUUCCAUCUAUUAAUGACGUUUUUUCUGAAGUUUACAAGGAAGAAAGCUGCAAAAAUGUUAUAAUUGAAAAAAAGCCUAUUGAUUCAGUAGAAAGUUCUACGUUGGUGACCAAACAAACAGCCAUGAAGCCUUUGAUCAUUCCAACAAGACACAUGAAAAGCCUCAAAUCUGAUGUGGCCAUUGCAAUAAACCCCGACAUACACAUGAAACAUGUUGAAAGCUUCAUGGAAAAUCUGCAAAUUGGAAAAGUUCUAAACAAGGGAAAAAAUUCCCACCUACACACCUCAAAUGCGAAUGUUGGUGAUUCCAACCUGUUUAACAAGGAGAAAAUUGAUCAAAUCUUGAAACCGCUAAAGACUACUUCCCCAUCUGGUAAUCCUAGUGUUUCCUUGGCACAAUCAGGUAAUUUUCCUCAGUCUCUUGCAUAAACUCAUCUCCAUGAAUUAUAGAUUCUGGAGCCUCUGGUUAUAUGACCAAUUCCUCUUCCUUAUUUGCAUCCUACUCUCCUAUAUAUUGCAAUGAAAAAAUUCACGUCACUGAUGGUAGUUUCCCCCAUGUUGUAGGAAAAGGAACUAUUCCUCUAACUACAAAACUUAAGUUGCAUUCUGUUCUACAUGUUCCAAAAUUAGCUUGCAAUUUGUUAUGUGUUAGUAAAAUCUCUAAACAUGCUAAUUGUCGUGUUGUCUUCUGUGACACUCAUUGUACCUUUCAUGAUCAGGACUUGGGGGAAACGAUUAGAUGUACUAGGAUGAUGGGUGGUCUCUAUUACUUGGAUGAAGUUUCAGCUAGUCAUAAACAAGUUCAGGGCUUGAAGUGUCUGUUCACCUUCUUCUAAAGAAUUUGGCAUCAUAGAUAAGAGCAUCCUAAUUUCAUUUACUUAAAGUAUUUGUUUCCAGAUUUAUUUAAAGGCCUUUAUUGUUCAUGACAUGGAGUUUGCAAAAUCCAAAAGUUGUCAACCAAAUGAAGUAUAUUCUUGAUCUGCUAGAAGAGAGAAGUUUACUCAAGGUAGCAAAAACUCCCAUGGAGUAGAAUCUGAAAUUGGAAGGUGCAACAAAAAAUAAGAUAAAGAAAAGGAAAAAAGUACCAGACUAGUUGGGAGACUCAUAUCUUUCUCACACAUGUCCUGAGAUCGGUUUUGCAGUUAGGAUAGUAAGUCAGUUCAUGCAUGCUCCUAUGGCCAGCUAACUUUGACGCGGUUUAUAGAAUCCUAAGAUAUUUCACAGGUACUCCAGGAAAAGGCACAUUGUUUAAAGGGCACGAUCAUCUUCAUGUUAAAGUUUACACUGAUGCUGAUUGGACAAGUAGCACGACUGAUAGAAGAUCCUCUUUUGUUACUGCCCCUUUUCUUGUUACUUGGUGAAGUAAAAAACUGAGUGUGGUUGCAAGUCAGAAGGAGAAUUUAGUUCUUUAGCCCAUGGUAUUUGUGAGGGUAAAUGGAUAAGAAGACUGAUGGAAGAAUUGAUAUUCACUUAGGUGACACCCACGUGCAUGUACUGUGAUAACAAGGCAGGAAUUUCCAUUUCCCAAAAUCUAGUCCUUCAUGAUAGGACAAAACAUAUAGAAGUUGAUAAACACUUUAUAAAGAAAAAGAUCGAUACAUAAGUAAUAUGCGUACCCUACCUUCCGACAACCGAAUAAAAUGCAGAUGUGUUAACUAAAGGCCUUCAAAGGUGGCAAUUCAACAAAUUGGUUGACAAGCUAGCGGUAGCAGUAACUAAUAUCUUCAAACCAACUUGAGGGGAAGUGUUGAUUAUUUCCUUUUUUGUAUUAUAUUUUAUUGUAUUGGUUGUAUCAUAUUUGCCAAAUUUGUUUUUUCUUUCUUUGUAAUGAGUUGUUCUUCUAUUUAAGAAAAUAGUUAUCUCUUUGUGAAAUAAACAGAAAAUUACAUUCUUUGACAGCAAAAGAAUCAGUGGCCUAACGAAAUGUUGGAAGCACCAAUCUUAAAUAAGCUUUUCUUACAAAAAAUGUGAGCAGCCUUGUGUUACAAGAUAAAGUAACAACAUCACAAUUCCAGAAAGAACAGAAAGGGAAAAUGGACACGUACAAUGUUGAGGUAUCCCAGUAUCAAAUCGAGAAGGCAUCAUUCCUCCACAUUCAUGACAUUGUAGAUGAACCAUGUGUGGAUUACAGCGAAAUCCAGCAUAUUCAGUACCUGGAAAAUAAAAAUCAACUUGUCAAAUUGGCAUAAAAUGUAACAAAAAAAUUAAAAUCAAAAUUAAAAUCACUUGGAAUGAAGUCAUAAUUCCAUGAAGACCAGGAAAGGAAUGUGUAAGAGAACUAGUACUCUAUUUAUAGCAAAAGUAAACUAAUCCUAAUCCUAAUUAAUAAAAGAAACUUAAUCCUAAUCCUAAUAAACCAGAGAAACUAAUCCUAAUCCUAAUCAUAAUAAAUUAAGGAUUUGACUGUAAUAUCCUAUUCCUACCACAUCAUACACCCAAAACCCCAUAAAUGUCUAUUUUCCAUCAUAAACGACUUCCAAAUGGCUGAUAUGAUGUUCUUUCUUGCCUUCGACCUAUGCCCCAAACCUGAUAAAAAACACGUUGCCCCUAACUCAGUGGCAGAAAAGAGGUUCACUUCCACCUGGGUUCUCCUGAAUAUAAGCAAAACAAUGGUGUGGACUAAUCAAAGAGGAAGAAAUUAACCAAAGGUUGGGUUGAGAGACCUGCGUACCGCAGGAGUGGUCCAGUUGCUUUUCUUGGCCAGUCUCUCUUUAAUGAAGUGUGAAUCAAUCUUCACAUGUUUUAUUUUAUCAAGUUGAACUCAAUUGUUGGCGAUGCUAAUACCUACCUUAUUACCACAAAAUAAUUUCAUGGGCACCUUACAGUUCUGAAGAAUGUCAGAUAAAACCUUCUGAAGCCAAAUUUUUUCAUACAUCCCCAAAAAUCAUAGCCCUGUACUUAGCUUCUGGCCACGUAGUUACUGUUUUCAAGCAACUGACCGUGCAGCACAAUGGUGAUCUCACUUACAAAGAAGCACCAAUGUAAGCCUUCAAGUGAUUAUUGACUUGCUAGUUUGUGGGGGACUCAUGAGAGUUGGAUAAGAGUAGGCAAAGUGUGUGGAAGAGUUUGGUAGAAUGAAUGAGCAAGCUUUAUUGAGAAUUCCCAAGGAUGGUUACCAAUGGGACCCCAUUAGGGUAUUUAUACAAAGAUGAAUCGACAUUAGAACACUUAAACCGCCUUUGAAGGUAAGUUAAAAUACAUCUAGAGCCUUCUAGGGAUUUCAUGACACUUUCAAACCGAUAUAGGAACUUCCAGAUGCUUCCAAGCGUGCUUAGCAUGUUCAAGAAUGCUCUAAAGCCAUUCGAGUCUCUCACGCACGUGCUCAUAGUCUGCCUAAUCUGGCUCGUGUGUGUAUAUCCCUGACCGUCUGUGAGCGUGCACCUGUUAUGCAAGGCUGCACUAGCGUCGUGUGUAUGGUUGCACGAAUGCCAAGCACGUUGUUUGUCAAGGCUUAGGUGUGUCCUGGUAGCGUUUUGGGACUUUGGACAAUGUGGCCAUGUUUUGGCUCCACCUGGUCUAUGCUAAGGAGCUUUAAUUUUGCAUUUUUUUUUGGGGCGUGAGGCCCUCCCCACUUAAUUUCGCAACAUCCUCAUUGCGCCUUCUUUGAACUUUUUAAUUUCUUCUUGGAAUUGCCAGAGUAAGUCUUCACGUUGCCAACUUGCUUCACUUUCUCGCAAACCUUCCGAAAUGACCAAGUAUUCUUUGUAGUUUGGAACUCCCCUCCGCCUUAUCUGUCUUUCUGCCAGGAUUUCUUCCGAUUUUCUUGUCAAACUCAGUCACUACCACAGUCAAUGCACGGGAGGACUUGCUCCGACUAGGGUCUUCUUUGUCUUCAUGAAAGGGUUUUAGCAUACUUACAUGGAAGACGAUGUGUAUCUUGAGUUUAGGAGGUAGUUCCAACCGAUAGGCUGCCUUGCCCACUUUUUCUAUGAUAAGGAAUGGGCCUUCGUAUCUUCGUACUAAGCCUAUGCACCUUCUGCAAGGACUUAAAUUGGUUUGGCAAUAAUUCACCCACACUCUGAAAUUGGUUUGGCAGUAAUUUCACCAUCACACUGUCUCCCACUUGGUACUCUUUCAGCCUUCUUUUCCUAUCGGCUCAUUUCUUCAUUCUCCUAGCAGCUUUCUCAAGGCAUGCCCUAGAGCUGCUUGUAAGUAUUGUGGGUCAUCUUAGAUGAAUUGCCAUUUAAGUUCGUAGAAAGUGAAGGAUUUUGUAAAUUUUGUUAGGCAUUGAAUCCAAAGUUCGUAGAAAGUGAAGGAUUUCGUAAAUUCCAUCAAGAGUGACCGUUGCAAAGGAUUGUUUUCAAAUAUAUAUGUGGAAGAAAAAAAGUUAAAAAGUGCAUUAACUUGAAGUGGCCAAAGAUUUUGAUUAACAACUUAUACAUAAACUUCUGUCCAAAAUAUUAAUUAAAUGGUUAUAAUGGAUCAUUUCAUUGAUGAUGAUUGGAACUUGCACAAAAGAAUUUUGAACUUUUGUCAAAUAGCUAAUCAUAAAAGAGAGAAUAAAUAUACAAAAAGAUUGUUAGGAAUAUAUGAAAAGAAUAAAUAUACCUCAAACAUAUCUGUUUGAGCUUGUAGGGUUAGCGAUAAUUCAACCAACAGAGUUUUUUAGAAGAGUUUUGAAUGAAGAGAGGGAACAAAGAGGUGAUGUAAAACAGGAAGAAAAUAUUUACCACAUUGAGGGCAUGGAAGCUCUAAACCACCGCUCUCCUCCAGGCCCAAUAAAAAAUGAGGCCUUUUUUGGUUUCGCUUUUUCACAGACCCAAUGACCUAGAAGAAUUACAACCAUAAUCAAAAUGGGAAAAGUAGAAGAAAAUAAAAACAAAAUGGCACAAUAACCAUAUGAAAGACCUGUAGGAAGUUCUACAAGUGAACCCACGGUAGUUGACAAAUAAAAAAGAGGACACAUUGUAAAACUAAAAUGCCCACAUUACAAAGCAAGAAUUAAAAUACAUUACCUAGACAUUAGCUUCAUCUAAAGUUUAUAAUCAAAAUAAUCAUGUGGAAUUUAGAUUAAAGUAACCUUUCUCUCCAAUCAAAAGUGGGAGAUGUUGACACUGAUAUCUUGAAGAAAUUUACACCACACACCAAAAGCGAAGGACUAGAGAGGAAACAAUCUGGAUCUUCAGAAGCCAAAUUUUAAAAAAAACUUACUGUAGAAGAUUCAAGGAAGAAAGAAGGAACUCUAUUCUAAUUACGAUCAUUUAAAUCAACUAGUGUAGCAUUCAGCCCUCCCAUGUCGUUUGACAUCCAAUAUUAUUCCAAUAUAGUAAGAGAAAGCAGAAAGAGAAGUCGGAAGUUUGUGUAAUGGCUUUGCUCGGGAUGACUCAGGGGUGGAAUGGCUUUUCUCUGUUUCAAAAAAAAAAAGAUUGGAGCUAAAGUUCACUGCUUUAAUCCUGAAGGCUUCACUAGUUUUAUUGGUUUGCUUGAAUCAAUUCCAUCUCAUGAUCCUGGUCCAGAUUAUCAACUAUUUGAGCAUGCACCUUUUGUAUUGAGGUAUGUGUUGAAGAAAAGGUUUGCUCGUGGUUUCUAUGAUAAAGUAUUGCUGGCUUUUAAUGGCAACUGCCAAGAAGUAUUUAGUUCAGAAGGAGAAAAUGUUGUUGUUUCGUGCAUCUCAUCUUUGAAAGUCUUCAUUGCGAGAAACUAUGGCUGCUCUUCUAAUAUUUCUCAAGCUUAUUCUCUGAGAUUAUCUUGUUCAUCAUGAAUCGUGUUAUGGUCGAAAAAGGUGCUGGAAUCUAUUAAAGUGGCUUAUGGGAGAAAUAUUUUGGUGAUUAUUUUUACUCACGCCUGGGGGAUGAGUUUUCAAUUGGAACAUCAAACUUUGUCUUUGAAGAUUCAACAUGGUGUGUUGAGGUGUUGCAAAAGGAAGUACAACGUUUUGUUGAUGCUGUUAUUUUGAAAGAUUUUUUCGUUCCUCUUCUGGGUUUGGACUACUUUGGCAAUAUAGCUUUGCGAUCACUGGUUGAAUCUUUUUGCUAGUCUCUAGGUCUGAAUGGUUUCCUUUUGAGAGAGUUAUUUCGUUAUGCUUUGUAUUUAGAUCUCUUCGUUUUGGUUCUGUUUUAACUUCAUUUUUUAUGUUGGAUUUCACCUUUUUAGCUUGUUCUUUGCGUUUGUUUGUUUUGGUCAUUUUCCCUUGUAUUGGUCGAGAUCAUCUUUGGGCAGUUUGUUUGGAUAUUUUUGUCUUUUCUUAUUUUGUUCUUGGUAUAAUUCUCUUGUACUUUGAGCAUUAGUCUCAUUUUCCUUUAUUAAUAAAUAGUCUUGUCUCCGUUUCAAAAAAAAGUCCUAAGAGCAAAAUAAGAAAAUGACAGUCAUCCAAACAAACUAAACAAAGAUGAACCCAGACAAAACAUAUGGGAAAAUGACCAACAAACGAUCAAAAAGUAGAAAUAACGAAGAACCAAAGCAACAAAAAGUUGAGACAUUAGUAAAGAUCUUAAUACAAAGAAAAUAUACACCUUGAUGAAAAGCACCCACUUCAUACUGAAAUAUUGAAUACCACAUGCUUGAAUUUGAAAGGAGAAGGGAAAACCAUGAAGAGGCAAUCGGUUACUUUAAAACUAUCCAACCCAAAUAAUUUUUUCCAGAGAUCUUUGCCCUCCACUGAAAAUCAUGAUGACGAACACAACUUCCAAAAAGCUAAAACUUUUAAGUUAAUUGCAUCAAUUAGAAAUUUUUGCUCUUUCUUGAAUAUGAGAGAACCAGUUCUGAAUAAGUGUUCAAGAGACUUGAAUCCCAACACUUUAUCUGCAGCCUUCAAACCUUACAAAGGACCUGAUUAUUGGACCAAAAGUUAUCAAAUUAUUGAGAAAUUAUCUUCAUUAGCCUGGAUGAGGAAGGUUAUCAAAUUUUCAUUAAACCAAAAUGAUGCCACAAUCAUUAACUAAGGGCAGCAGAUCCUUAGGCAAUUCCGAGGGAACUUUGAUGGGAACAACGAUGACUUCAUCAAAUAGAGAAGAGAGAUCAGCCCCUUCAACAUCUUCAUUAUUUUUUAAAUCAAAACUAUUUGGAAACCCUAAGGACUCCUCACUACUAACACUAAAUGGAGACUCCAAGGUCUUGGAGAUCAGUUUGUCAAUGUUGGCACGACAAGGGGAGCCUCGCAAAAAAUUAACUUAAGAGAUAAAAAUGGGGAGUUUUGAAUAUUUGAAAUGCUUGAAUGGAGAGCCUGAGUUCACUGCUGAAAAGACAAUUAGAAGUCUGGAUUUUGGGGCUGCAAAUCUCCAAAAGGUCAGGAUUAUUUGCUAAGAUAGAAGGCUUUGAAUUAUGCUCCCGAGAGGGGGCUGAAAAUGGUAAUUUAAUGUCACAACCUCCAUUCAACUGACUUCAGUAAGGCUGAAAAUGGUAAUUUAAUGCUUCCAAGAAUAGUGCUUCAGAAUUUUCGGAGCAUGUACUUGGAGAGCUUUGUCACCUUGUGAAGGAUUAGUCUUGUUGCAGAAACCAAAAACUGAAGGAGAAGGAUCCGAGGAGGCCAAAAUAGGAAGUUGCCAUUAGAUGGAGGGAAAGCUGUAAUCUUUAAUUACUUUUCACCUAGAACAGACAUUUCCUAUGUUGUUAGUGUUGUUAGUCAGUUUAUGCAGGCAACCUACGAAGAACAUAUGGAAGUUGUGAAUCGAAUUGUGAAAUUUUUUAAAAGCUCUCCAGGUAAAGGUCUGAUGUUCAGGAAAACUAACUGGAAAUGCAUUGAGUGAGGCUUGUGUUGACUCUGAAUGGGCAAGAUCAGUUUUAGCUUUUGGAUGUUUUGUCUUCGUCAUCAUGAUUUUCAGUGGAGGGCAAAGAUCUCUAGAAAAAUUUAGUUGGGUUGGAUGGUUUUGAAGCAAUCGAUUGCCUCUUCUUGAUUCUCCCUUCUCCUUUCAAAUUGAAGCAUGUGCUAUUCAAAUUUUCAGUCUGAAGUGGGCGCUUUUCAUCAAAGUGUUUACUUUUUCUUUGUAUUAAGAUCCUUACUAGUGUCUCAACUCUUUGUUGCUUUGGUUGUUCCGUUGUUUCUACUUUGUGAUCAUUUGUUGGUCGUUUUCCCAUAUGUUUUGUUUGGGUUCAUCUUUUUUUAGUUUGUUUGGUUGGCUUUGUCUUUUUCUUAUUUUGCUCUUAGUAUAUUACUCUUGUACUUUGAGCAUUAGUCUCAUUUAUUGUUAAUAAAGAGGCUUGUCUCCGUUUCAAAAAAAAAAUAGUUUAUAGUUUCGAGGGUAUUUUAGUAUUUUACUUUACCCUAAGUUUAUUUCCUUUUUUGUACUAGGGCUGGUUAGAGCUAUAAAGUUGUCUUCUUUCGUAACUUUCUAUUAGACCUCCCAUAAUACUACAAUAUAGUAGGAAAAGAAGAAAGAUAAGUCGGAAGUUAUUGGGUAGUUCUGAUGUAACAAGUCAAGACAAUCUCGGGAUGGAAUAAUGUAAUUGCUCGGGACAAUCUCGGGGUGAACUCGGGGAAUGUUUUACUAUUUAGUCUUUGGUUACACACCAAGUUCUAAGUGUAGUGCUGUUAUUUUUCAGUUUUCUAGUCUUACAGUUAUUUAGGAGGGAAGGGGUAGUUUAAAGGGAAGGAGAGGAGUCUGUGAGAGGGGAAGAAGUUUUCAGCUUAUGAAUGGGCUGUUUUUCCUGGAAAGGAGAACAGGGUGGUAUGUUCUUGUUGUUUUGUUGUAUUUGUGUGUUUUAUUUCCAGGAUUGAUAAUCUAUCAAUCUGUCUUUGUUCUUAAGUAUCUUUUACCAAGUUGAAUAAAGAACAUCUAUGCAAGUGUUCGAUCACCUUCAUUGUGUGUUAAGAUAAUAAAAAGAGACUAUCCUAUUCUGGGUUUUCCAUGUAAAUCUUAAGUUCUCUUUUCUACUGUUUAACAAUAAUAUUUAACAUUCUCCCUCACUAUUCUCCCUCACUUUUGGGAUUGAAAUAUGAAGAACACCCAAAAAGUGGAAAUGAAUAUUAAUUAGGGAGGAAACAGAUUAGGGGUUUGAACACAAAGCCUCUUGAACCAACUUGCUUUGGUACCAUCUUAAAUCACCAAUUUCAUUAAUUCAAUGAAGAGACUUGUUUCCUUAUAAAAAAAUCAUCAAUUGAUUCAAAAGCUUAAAGGGCUUAUGGAUGACAACAAAUUUAAUAAAAUAUCUAACAAAUAGUAAAAAUUUAGAAAUUAGCAUUCCUAUCAUUGCCAUUACAUUAGUGCACAAGUAUGAUAUCAAAUAAGAUUACUUACCAGAUUUGAUUGUAUUAAUGAACAAGAAUCCAAAGUAGCAAUUUCUUCAACCGAACGUCUAAGGGAAGAAUCAGCUUGCAAUAUAUCCUAGAUAGAACAUGCAGCCUGUUAUGAUAUAUAUAUAUUUAUAUAUAUCUCAUAUGUCCUUUAUUGUAAUUUUACAUAAUCUCUAGGGUUUAGUUUAUUCUCUAUAUAAAUAUGUAACAUUCCUUUGACUCAAUAUGAAUAAGAACGAUACUUCUCUGAAUUCUAGAUUACAUGGUAUCAGAGCCAUUAGGGUUUCGAAUGGCCAUUAGCUUCCUCCUUCAUUAGGUUUAAGUUUAGGUUACCUUCCGCUGACCGUUUGUCGACACCGCCCAUACCAUAAGAAGCACCACCUCCGUCUUCCCAAGUCUGUCUUCGCCGAUCGCCGGAAAACACCGCGUGUGACAUUCACGCGCCGCCGGAUCCUCGUCGUCUUCACCCACGCGCCGGCGCGUGAGAGCACGUGAGACGUCCGAUUUGUCCUCCGUCUUCUGGGCUUGUAUUGAACCAUUGUUUCCGGUCAAUCUGUACCAUUGGGUCCAUCAAAUAGCACUCAGGUUCGACGAAAACUGAAGGUUACGCUAUUGGUUUUGGGUCUUUUUCCGAUUUUGCAGCUUUUUGGAUUGAUUUUCUCUUUGUUUGUGUGGACUAUAAUCAGUGUGUGACUUCACUAUGGCCGACAUAAAAAAUUUGGUAAAAUCCAACGUUAUUCCCUUAGCCUCUAAGAUCACAGAACAUAAGUUAAAUGGAUCCAAUUAUUACGAUUGGCGUCGGACAAUUUUAUUUUAUUUGAGAAGUACUGAUAUGGAUGAUCAUAUGACUGAAGAUCCCCCAAAAGAUGCAAAGCAGAAGAAGGAUUGGCUUCGUGAUGAUGCCCGUUUAUAUCUUCAGAUCAAGAAUUCAAUUGAGAGUGAGAUAAUUGGAUUGGUUGAUCACUGUGAGUCUGUUAAAGAACUUUUGGAAUUUUUGGAUUUUCUAUACUCAGGUAAAGAGCAAGUGCAUAGAAUGUUUGAAUUUUGUAUGCAAUUUUUUUCGUGCGGAACAGAAAGCUGAGUCUAUCACCAGCUACUUUAUGCGGCUUAAGAAGAUCACUGCCGAGCUUGGCUGGUUGUUACCUUUUAGUUCUGAUGUUAAAGUUCAACAAGCUCAACGAGAGAAGAUGAUUGUUAUGAAUUUUUUGAAUGGACUCUUACCUGAAUUUGAAAUGGCAAAGACACAGAUUCUCUCUGACUCUAAGAUUCCAUCAUUAGAUGAUGCCUUCACUCGCAUCCUUCGCAUUAAAAGCUCUCCGACUGGUGUGUCUAUUCCUCAACCCAGUAGUGAUCUCUUUAGCAAGAACAAUAAACAUCGGGCACCUCAGAGGAAUAGUACUGAUCAUCGAAAACCAGAGUCUGUAGAGAUUGUUUGUAACUACUGUCGUAAGCCAGGCCAUAUGAAACGUGAUUGUCGGAAAUUGCUAUAUAAGAAUAGUCAACGAUCUCAACAUGCUCAGAUAGCCUCCACAUGUGAUAUACCAGAGGCGUCAGUUACUAUUUCUGCAGAUGAGUUUGCUAAGUUUCAGAAUUACCAAGAGUCAUUACAAGCGUCAUCUUCCUCUACUCCGAUUGCAUCCACUGUUGCCCCCAGGUAAUAUAAAGUGUCUUCUUACAUCAUCUACCAAAUGGGUCAUAGACUCUGGUGCCACAGCUCAUAUGACAUGUAAUUCUCACCUAUUUUCUAGACCGUUGUCCCCUGCCCCUUUUCCAUCUGUUACAUUGGCCGAUGGCUCCACAUCUUCUGUUCUUGGCUCUGGCACUAUUCACCUUACCCCAUCCUUUUCUCUCUCUUCUGUGUUACAUUUGCCUAACUUAUCCUUUAAUUUAAUUUCUACUAGUCAACUUACUCAUGACCUAAAUUGUGUUGUCAUGUUCUUUUCUGGCUUGAUUGCUUGGUAGAGUGAUUAUUGAGAUCAGGAGGCCUUUAUCUCUUUGAUCAUCAAGUAUCGCAAGCUGUGGCGUGUCCUGUCGUUCCCUCUCCUUUUGAAGUCCAUUGUCGUUUAGGUCAUCCAUCUUUGUUCGUGUUGAAGAAACUUUAUCCAGAAUUUAGGUCUUUGUCCUCUUUAAAUUGUGAUUCGUGUCAAUUUGCGAAAUUUCAUCGUCUUAGUUCGAGUCCUCGAGUCGAUAAACGAGCAAUUGCUCCAUUUGAGUUAGUUCAUUCUGAUAUUUGGGGUCCGUGUCCAGUUGUAUCUCAAACAGGCUUUCGUUAUUUUGUUACUUUUGUUGACGAUCAUUCUCGUCUAACUUGGUUAUAUUUAAUGAAAAAUCGUUCUGAGUUAUUAUCUCAUUUUUGUGCCUUUCAUACUGAAAUAAAAAACCAAUUUAAUGUCUCUAUCAAAACUUUGCGUACUGAUAAUGCGGGUGAAUAUUUUUCUCAUUCUCUUGGCUCUUACUUGUGUGAAAAUGGCAUUAUUCAUCAAUCUUCCUGUGCUGACACUCCAUCUCAAAAUGGUGUUGCAGAGCGGAAAAAAUAGGCAUUUACUUGAAACUGCCCGUGCUUUAUCGUUUCAAAUGCAUGUUUCAAAAAUCUUUUGGGUUGAUGCUGUCUCUACAGCUUGUUUUUUGAUUAAUAGAAUGCCUUCCUCUGUUCUUAAUGGUGAGAUUCCCUAUCGUGUUCUUUUUCCUACCAAGCAUUUGUUUCCUAUUGCUCCUAAGAUAUUUGGUUGUGUCUGUUUUGUUCGCAACGUUCGUCCUCAUCAUACUAAGUUAGAUCCCAAAUCCUUGAAGUAUAUCUUCUUGGGUUAUUCACGUGUUCAAAAGGGUUAUCGUUGUUAUUGUCCUACCCUUCAAAUGGUUUCGCCUGAUGAUGCAUUUUUUUAGGAUACACCAUUUACUUCAUCACCAUCGAGUUCGUGUCAGGGGGAGGGUGACAAUCUUUUUAUAUAUGAGGUUACCUCUCCCACACCAUCCUUGUCUACUGAUGUGCCUCCUUCCCGCCCGUUGAUUUCUCAAGUCUACUCCCGACGACCUCCACCACAACCUUCAGACUCAUGUCCUCCAUCAAUGCUUCCUUCAUCAUGUGAUCCAGCGCCAAGUGAUGAUCUUCCCAUUGCUCUUCGCAAAGGUAAACGCAAGUGUACUUACCCCGUUUCUUCCUUUAUUUCCUAUCACCAGUUAUCUCCCUCCACAUAUGCGUUUAUUACGUCUCUUGAGUCCACAUCUAUUCCUAACUCUGUUCAUGAAGCUUUGUCUCAUCCUGGCUGGCAAAAUGCAAUGAUUGAGGAGAUGACUGCUUUAGAUGAUAAUGGUACUUGGGAUUUGGUAUCUCGUCCUGCAGGAAAGAAGGCCAUUGGUUGUAAAUGGGUGUUUGCUGUCAAGAUGAAUCCUGAUGGAACAGUGGCUCGUUUAAAGGCUCGCCUUGUUGCCAAAGGUUAUGCUCAAAUCUAUGGCACUGAUUAUUCAGAUACAUUCUCUCCGGUUGCCAAGUUAACUUCCAUUCGCCUAUUUCUUUCCAUGGCUGCUACCAAUAAAUGGUCGUUGCAUCAACUUGACAUUAAGAAUGCUUUUCUUCACGGUGAUCUUCAAGAGGAAGUUUAUAUGGAACAACCACCAGGGUUUGUUGCUCAGGGGGAGAGUGAUAAAGUAUGUCGCCUUCGAAAAUCUCUGUAUGGUUUGAAACAGAGUCCUCGUGCGUGGUUUGGUAAGUUUAGUCAAGCCCUUGUAUGCUUUGGUAUGAAGAAGAGUACAUCUGAUCAUUCAGUUUUCUAUCGCCGAUCUGAGAAGGGUAUAGUUCUACUAGUUGUAUAUGUUGAUGAUAUUGUUAUUACUGGAAAUGAUGCAUUGGGUAUUUCGUCUCUCAAAACUUUCCUUCAGGGUCAGUUUUAUACAAAAGAUUUGGGCCAAUUGAAAUAUUUUUUGGGCAUUGAAGUGAUGAGAAGCAAGAAAGGUAUUUAUUUGUCUCAACGAAAAUAUGUACUUGAUUUGUUGUCUGAAACAGGAAAAUUAGGCGCCAAACCAAGUGGCACUCCAAUGAUGCCAAAUCAGCAACUUGUUAAAGAAGGAGAAUUAUGUAAAGAUCCUGAGAGAUAUAGGAGAUUAGUUGGGAAGUUGAACUACUUAACAGUGACUCGACCAGACAUUGCAUAUUCUGUAAGUGUUGUAAGUCAAUUCAUGUCUUCCCCUACAGUGGAUCAUUGGGCUGCAGUAGAGCAGAUUUUGUGUUAUCUAAAAGCUGCUCCUGGAAGUGGGAUCUUAUACAAAGAUCAUGGACAUACGUGAGUUGAAUGUUUUUCUGAUGCUGAUUGGGUGGGGUCUCGUGAGGAUAGAAGAUCAACUUCUAGAUAUUGUGUCUUUGUAGGUGGAAACUUAGUAUCAUGGAAGAGUAAGUUUGAGUGAUGAGUCAGAAUAUAGAGCUAUGGCACAAUCUGUGUAUGAAAUAGUAUGGAUUCACCAACUAUUGUCUGAGAUAGGCUUCAGUAUUACCGUGCCAGCUAAAUUAUAGUGUGAUAAUCAAGCUGCACUUCAUAUUGCAUCUAAUCCAGUAUUUCAUGAACGAACUAAACAUAUUGAGGUGGAUUGUCACUUCAUUCGUGAGAAAAUCCAAGAUGGGUUGGUGUCCACAGGAUAUGUGAAGACCGGAGAACAAUUGGGAGAUAUUCUAACUAAAGCUUUAAAUGGAGCAAGGAUAAGCUAUAUGUGCAACAAGCUGGGCAUGAUCGACAUAUUUGCUCCAGCUUGAGGGGGAGUGUUAUGAUAUAUAUAUAUUUAUAUAUAUCUCAUAUGUCCUUUAUUGUAAUUUUACAUAGUCUCUAGGGUUUAGUUUAUUCUCUAUAUAAAUAUGUAACAUUCCUUUGACUCAAUAUGAAUAAGAACGAUAUUUCUCUUAAUUCUAGAUUACACAGCCAACCAGUUAUGAGAUAGAAACUGAAAAAAUAAAUAAAUAAAGACUUGGUACAAUAAGAAUUAAAAUGUUUAUAGAACUGCUGAAUUGAUGCAGGGGGAUUAAGAAAUCUACCGUGUUGGAUGUUGUUAGGAUCUUGGUUGCGAGAAAUAAGAAAAAAAUUGUCUUGUAUAAAAUGUGAAAAUACAAUAUCAAUAGCCUCUCGAGAGGACUAUAUCUCUACCCAAGUUCCAUAUUAGACAAUCCCCAAAAUAACCCCUCCUCCUCUAAGAUCCUAAAGGUUGAGAACAAUAAAAUCUUAUUCCUUUCCAAGUGCCCUAUGGUCUUUCUAAAGAUACAAAUUUGGCUUAGCUACGAUGUAGGAAUAAAACCUAAAUAAUAACAAAAUACCUAAAAUAUUUAGAUAGAAAAGAUAUUGCUAAAUAUGGGCACAUCUAAAUCUACAAUACAUAAUUCUACACUCCCUUCAACUUGGUACAUAGAUGUCAUGCAUUUCUAACUCGCUCACAAGAUCCUGAAACAUUGGUUUAAACAAUCCCUUGGUGAAAAUAUUUGCAGUCUGGUCUUUGGAAGGAACAAAAGGGAUGCAAACUACUCCUUCCUCCAGAGUCCCUUUAAUGAAGUGUUGAUCUACCUAUAUAUGUUUGUACAGUCAUGUUGAACUGGUUUUUGAGAAAUACCUAUAGCAGCUUUGUCGUCACAGUAGAGCUUAAUUGGUAAGUAUCCACAACAUCUCACACACUCCAAACGGAAGGAUAAAUUAAUUAAAGUAGGUAAGUUCUCUCUCCUCUCUCCCCUCCGCAUUUUCAGUUAUCUGUUUCUCCGACAAUAAUGAAAGGAAUGAAGUAGAAAGCUGCAGGGAAGGCUCUCCUUACUGCAUAUGGCACAAGCAUCAUUUAUUCCAAGUUGAAGAUAUGGAGGCGAACAAAAUGUUGUCAUGUAUCACUAUCAUAUGUUUUAAAAGUUGUAUGGUAGCCUUAAAUGACAUGUCUAUUCUUAGUUCCGUUUGGAUAUGAUGAGGACGAUGAAGGGAUGUCAACCUAGUUGAGAUAUCCAAGUGCAUCUGCUGAACAUAAAUUUUCUUUUUCUUAUUAUAUAAACCUCUUGCACUAUGAGCUUUUAUCUCAUUUAUUUUUAAUAAAAGUGGCUUGUUUUCCUUUAAAAAAAAAAAAUCAAGCAUUCAACUAUGCUGGUUUCAAGAGGCCAUCGAGAAACUACUGUCAGAGUGCUGAAAAUCAAUAUUUUUACGAGAAAGAAAGAAUAGACAAUGGCAUAACAGAAGUCUCAAGAUUCAGAUCACAGAAAGGUUGGGUGUUAAGAUGCAAUUUUUGGCCUUGAAUAGGAGGAAGACCAUUCAUACAUAUUCUAUCGGGUGAGGAAAAACAGGGAUGGAAAAUGUUUCUCAAUAUGUUGAAGAGCUUCAAAUCAAAGCAUGAUUACAUAAUGUGGCAUUCAGAACAGACCAAGCUGAAAAUGUGUCAUUCUGAAGAUGCAAACAGACCGCAAGAAGAGAAGAUGGAUAGCUAUGUGAACAAGGGCCAGUCGAAAAAGGAAUCCUCUGUGUUCGAUUUGAAAAAACAGAGCAUUCAUCAAAAGUGGAUUAUCAAGAAUUCAAAGGUCGUCAUAGAUUUUGACACUUUAUGGGUUGUCACUCGUCUUUUUGAGUUCAAUAGUUCGUAGAGAUUAAAGAAACAUUGCAAACAUACUUUCAAUUGAGGGUUAUACAUACUUUCAAUUGAGAGUUAUCGUAAAACCGUUGUCUGCAUAGAAUGGUCUAAUUGAUAUAGAUCAAGGAUCGUUAAAAGAACUUGUGGAACAACCGAGGAAAUGGCAGGAAUUUGGCGUCUUUCAUCUAAAACUCAAAAAGUGGGAUAUGGUAGCACAUAGCAGAUCUCUGUAUGCAAGGGGAUAUGGUGGAUGGAUUUCGAUUGAGAACCUCCCUUUAAACCACUGGAAGAAUCAAACAUUUGAAGUUAUUGGGCUUAUUUUGGGGGCUUGGCAGAGACAUGGAAACUUUAAAGUUUUUAAAUGUAUCAGAAGCCAAAAUUCAAGUCAAAGAAAACCUUUGUGGGUUCAUUCCAGCAAUGAUAGAAAUCAAUGACGAGAAGAAAGGAAGCAUUUUCUUAAAUUUUGGUGAUAUCUCAUCCAUCACUCCACCAAGUAAAGUUGGAGGGGAUUUAUUUGUUUGUGAUUUUUCAAACCCAGUUGAUGGUAGAUUAAAUCAAGUUUUGAAGGAUGAAGAAAUCGAAAAUGAUCCAUUAAGUGGUAAGUUUGAAUUUCUUUUGCCAGAAAAGUUGCAUGCACAAUUUGCCAGAUGCCCAUUUGUCCAAUCAGUAAAUCUUGGUUCCUACAAACUGAAAAAUUGAGACCUUGCUCGAAGAGAAGCUGGAAGUCCUUAACCGUUCAUUUCUAUUCAAUCAUCCAAGAGCCGGUUGGGUUCCCCGUUUUUUUUUAAAUUGCAGCAAUGAAUUUUAUUCAAAAGAAGUGCAUUGUCACUCCGUAGAAUUGCAAUUUUUGCAUUGAACUAUGUUUUUACGGUGUGAUAGAAGUCCCGAAAUAUGGAAGUGACCUCAGAUUUGUCGAAGAUGAGAAAGACCCGGGUAAGAUGGGUAUGGUCAUCAAUGAAGGUUAAAACCACCAUUUUCCAAAAGAGGUAGUAACCUUAGACGAACCCCAGACAUCACUUUGGAUAAGGGUGAAAGGUUGGAUUGGUUUGUAUGGUUGUGAGGUAAAGGAGACCUGACGUUGUUUAGCCCGAAUACACACAUCACAAGAUAAGGUAUAAACAUCAACUUUAGAAAGAAAAAAUGGAGAAAUAAGUGUUUCAUAUAUUAAAAAUUGGGGUGGCCCAAACGAAAAUGCCACAACAUACCGUCUUUUUCUGAAGUAGAGGGUAUCAACCUAGUUGAGAUGUCCUAAUGCACCUACUUAUCCUUAGAUUUUGCUCAUGUACUUUGAGCAUUGGCUCUAGAUUAUUAUCAUUAAUUAAUAGAGAUGUUCCCAUUUUAAAAGAGUAUAAUAUAUACAUGAAUUAUAGGAGCUUAUUAAUCUUUUUUCCUUUAUUGUAAUUUACUAGUCUUUAUUUAGGGUUUCCACGUGGGCCUAUAUGUACUGAAUUAUAUUGUAUAGAAUGAAGUAAGGAGUUAUUUCUUGUUUCGCUCUAACUCAUACCAAUCAACAGUUUUCUUCAGUAAGAUGCUUAAGUACGAUAUUACCUCCGCAAUGUUCAGCAAGUAGUGGUUUCUUCCAACAAACUGCACGACUGCUCUACAUUGGGGACAAAGUACAUUUGUAUGCUUCUCUUGGGAUCUUUUUAACCACUCCGAGAAACAUCCAUUGCUGUCAACUAACACAAUUAAAUGAAAAUAACUGUAUUGAAAGACGAACUAGCCAACCAAAAAACAAACUAACAGGCCCACCAAAAGUUGUGGAAGCAAGGAGCGGCUGUGACAACAUCAUGCCAUAUGUUUAAACAAAUACUGCAUUUUGCGUGCUCAACAUCCACAGAAAUCUGGACAAAUUCAAACAACCCCUAGAAUUGAGUAUUUCUAAAAGGAUGGUUAGAACCUAAUAUCACAUUCUGAUAACCAAAUUACCAAAACAUGACAAUUACCAAUCACCUUUAAGCCUUUGCAUAAUUUUGAAUCUGACAACAUUUCAAAUUUAAAGCUCAAAUUCCCUGGAAAUUACAAUCGAAAAGCUCCAUAAGACAAGCAGUUCUACAUUUUCAAUCAAACCAUAAAAAAUAUCUGUGCAGUUAGCUUUCGGAUUUCGCUAUAAGAAAAAUUGAAUAAGAAAAGAUUCCUGAAAAUAUUCAAAGCCAAAACCAAAGGUAAGCAUAAGAUACUCUCCAAUUGGCUUAAAUUAAACAAGAAUUGAUUAGUUCUUAUAAAAAAGAGUUGACAAAAAUACAGAAGGAUUUUGCAAGUGUUGUUAGAAGUCAAAGAAACUAAGAAAAAUUAAUUUAUUUACUUAGCUCAUCUAUUAAUUAACAACCUAAUAUUUGUUUAAAAGAAGGAAACGAAUCUCAUUUAUUAUAAAAAAUGAGGAAAGCUCAUACAAAAGGGUUAUAGAAUGAGCAAUAAAGAACUAGCGAUUAAUAGACGCACCAGGACAUCUCAACUAGGCUGACACCCCCUUCGCGUCCUCAUCAUAUCCGAAAAAUAGAGAAAUUAAAUGACAUUGAGGAAGUAUAGAUGGUCCAAAACAGUACAAUGAGGAAACGAAUCUCAUUUAUUAUAAAAAAAUGAGGAAAGCUCAAAGUACAAAAGGGUUAUACAAUGAGCAAUUAAAGAACUAGAGAUCAAUAGACGCACCCGGACAUCUCAACUAGGCUGACACCCCCUUAGCGUCCUCAUCAUAUUCGAAAAUAGAGAAAUUAAAUGACAUUGAGGAAGUAUAGAUGGUCCAAAACAAUACGAUGUCAUUAAGGGAAGAAAGGUAAGUUCUCUCCCUCCUCCCUCCUCUCUCCUCCCUCUAUCCUCUUUCCUUUCGGCUGCCGGCAUUUUCAUCCAAAUAUGGAAGUAGUCAACUGCAAAGUCCUCGAGUCUCAUUACUGUACUUGGAAAGUGGGAAAUCAGAUUCACGUUGAAGAUGUGGAAGCUUGUAGAACCUUGUCGGUCUCCAGAUUUCAUCUAGAAUGGUUGUUGACGGCGGUCUCAAAAUUAUUAAGAGGGCCAGGGGACAAGUUCUUUCAAAAGCUAGGUGAAGUAGAUAGAGGUAGAUUGAAAGCUUUGAAAUUUAAAACAAAGACUGGAUUGGUAUUAAGCUGUGACUUUUGGCCUUCAUUAGGAGGGCUUUCUAAUAUAAGGGUGUGCUCGAGGGAAAACAAAUAGGGAUGGAGAUCCUUUCUAAAUAUGCUGGACAAUUUUUGUUCUAGGGAGGAAUAUGUCAAUUGGUUUUCUAGAAAUUACUUGAAGCACAUUCCCAAUAAUAUGGAAAGCAACCUGAGUUAUACAGAUAAAGUCAAACAGAAAAAGAGCAAUGCGUCUGUCAUAAAGAAAGCUUCCAGAGAUUGCAAUAGUCCUGUAGUGGUGGCCGAUACAAAAGUAGCAAAGGUUUCCCCUUGUCCUUUCUCAGGUUUGAAUAGCGGAAAGCAAAAGAAUUGGGUAAUUAGGAAUUUUGAAGUUAUCCCAACCAAUUUUGAAAACCUUAGGAUCACUACUAAGCUCUUUGCCUUCGAUGAUUGGAAGAGAAUUCGAAAGAUGUUAAAGAACUAUUUCCAAGCAAAGAUAGUUAUUAAUCCUUUAAUUGAUGAGAAUGCUCUCAUUAGUUUUGACCAAGGCUCGAUAAAGGAUCUCAUCAAUAAUGAAGGGAAAUGGCAGGCAAUGGGCUCUUUUCACCUAAAUUUUGAAAGAUGGGAUAAACACAAACAAUCGGCCGCUCACCAUGAAAGACUAUGGAGGAUGGCUCAAAAUAAAGAACCUCCCUUUGGAUUACUGGAGCAGGAAAAACUUCAAGGUUAUCGUGGAUCAUUUUGGAGAACUUGAAAGCAUUGCCAUGGACACUUUAAAUCUUACCAAUUACAGUCAAAUUAGGAUUCAAGUUAAGCAAAAUCUUUGCGGUUCUGUACCUUCCACGAUUGAGAUUACUGAUCUUAAAAGGGGAAACAUUUUUUUAAACUUCGGUGAUUUCAAAUGUUUGAAUCCUCCCGUUCCUACUGUUGGUACUAUUAUGGUUAAUGAUUUUAGAAAUUCUAUUGACUUUUUAAGAAUUAGGGAGGCCUUGCAAAAUGAAGGUUCAGACCUCCCUUUUUUCCCCUCAGUUUUAAAUCUCCCAAAAUCAACUUUUGCACAUCUUCACAUAGCAAGAAAUCCAUUUGCAAUUCUGGAACACCUUCAAGAACCCUCAUCGGCCCCGGAGAAGACAAAAGAAGCAAGAAGUUGGGCCGAAACUGCUUUAAUUGCACUGGAAUUCAAAAAGUCAUCUUUAUUGGAUUCUGUAAAACCUAUUAAGAACGGCUGUCUAGUUGGUUUUGUGGGCUACACCAAGUUAGAUUCCCCUUUUAAAAAACAGAGGCCCAACGAUCUCCCUCUCAAAGAACCUCAGUCAGAUGCUGCAUUCCAAAGUUCUCCAGAAACUAGCAAUUUAAACAGAUUGAGUCAGAGUAAAGGAAAAAACAAGUCAACUCCCCGAAAUUUUGUCUGACAUUCAAAAGAAGAUGUCUUUCAACAACACAUGAACUGCUCUCCUAAAGUCUGAAUCAAUUGGGGCUUGUUCUCUCAAAGCCCUUCUUUUGGAUCCCCACCAGAAACUUAAACUCAAGCCCUCCCCUUUCGAAGAUAACCCGAACCUCUUGAAGGUGUGUACUUCCAAAGUCCAUGCCUCUGAUUCUCUCAGCAGGUUAGUAACUGAUAUUCCUGCUCCAAAAAUUUUCAAUUAUUCGAGUUUCACAGACCCUAACACAAAGGUAACGUUAUUACAAGGUUCCCCUUUGUCAUUCUGUUGUUUCCACCAAGAAGCAAGCAGAGUUGGAGGUAGACUCACCCUCCAGUGUUAGUAGUGAAGAAUCAACGGGCUUGAGGUGUCCUUCUGAUCAUAAGGCUGUUGCAGAGAUUGAAGGGAUGGAUUUAGACAUUCUUUGUGAAGAUGAUUGUGUCCCGCUAGACAAUGCCCCUUGGUCCUCCCCACUAAAAUCCUUGGAUUUUCCAAAGGACUUGGUGUCCGUUGUCAAAGAUUGUGGUAUUAUUCUGGUCAAAGCAAUUUAGGAAGUAUUUCCGUCACCACAAUUUUGUUACUGCCACCACUGAAGGAAUCUAAAAUGAAAAGAUUUAAUAAUGCUUUUAUAGAACAUUUCAGAGCUCUAGGGUCAUUGGCUGGUUCUCUGUGGAUUCGGUAGGAUUUUCUGAUGCGUUGCUUACCAUGUGGAUUAGAAGCUGGAUCUUUCUGGUGCUCUUUAAGUCUAGAAUUUAAUGAUUACUAAUAUGGUAAAUAAUAUACUUACAGAUAACAAACUAGAGAAGGCUUCCAUACUAUGAUAUCAACAAUGCGAAACCAAAUAAUUCUAAAUCAUCCACAGUUAAACUCUCUCCUUCACAAACAAGAAAGAGUUUGAAGAAAUACUAACCAUCCCGAACUGGACCCGAAACAAUUUCGCUUCCACACUUGAUGAAAGUAGUUUCAUCCUUUUGAACAAGAGUCUCAUCGACAAUGAUAGCAUUUGAACUAUAACACCCAAAACACAAGAUAAAAUAUACUAUAAGAAAAAAAGAAGAGAGAGAGACAAAGAAAGGGAGGCUAUAAAGACAAGAAAUAUAAUUUCAAACAUCACUGCACAAUCUCAAAUCCCAUAAGUAACAUUUAAUAAAAACAAUUCAUAGUGGUAAUAACAAAGGAUGACCAGGACUUUCUUCAUUCAAAUAUGCUUUUUUGUAAACAAGAAACAAAUUGAUUGAUUGAAAAGAAAGAAGUCAAGGAACAGAAAGAAAACAUUAAAGAACAAUGCGAAAUGAAGAAAUAAUUUAAUGAAUUUCUCUCCAGUGUCAAAAGUUUAGAAUUAUCAAUUGCAACUAGAAUGAUUUUCUUAAUCAUGCCUAACCGUUGCUGGUUCAUUUUCUCCGUUGCAGUUUUUUCUGACCAAAGUUUUGAAGAUUUGAAGGCUUGAUCUUGUUUAUUUGUAUUUUGAGAUUGUAUUGUUUCUCGGGGUUUUUUCUGAAUUUUCUGUUCAUUUUUUUUUACAGUUUUUUCUGGUUCCUUGUAAUAGGCUGAUUGUUUUUAAAUUGCUCCUCUGUUGGUUUCUUGUGUUGCUUUGUUGUUUUCUUUUCCAAGAUAUGAUGAUUGGCGCUAUGGAAGUGUUAACCUAGUUGAGAUGUCCGGGUGCGCCUCUUGAUCCUAUAGGUUCCCCCUUUCUUUUUCUUCUUUAUUGCUCCCUUUGUAUAAAUCUCUUGUAGUUAGUGUUCUUAUUAAUAAAGAAAUUUUUGUCUCCGUUUUAAAAAAAAAAAUUGCACCUGCUAACAUGGUCAUCUUGAUUGUCACUAACACGUAAAACGUAGCUUUUGAUUAGCUCAAAGUUGGAUAUAGUUCUCUCUCCUCUCUCCUCUCUCCCCUCCCCUCCCCUCCUUCCUUUCUCCCCUAACCACACUCCAGCCCCCUUUUUCUCCUCCUGGGUUUUCAUCCUUCUUCUCCAGUAAGUCCCCUAGAGCCUAUUCUUCUUGUUAUUCCUCGUUUAAGUGGCAGUCUGGUUUUGGUCAUAAUGGAAGUAGAAAGAUGCAAAGUAGCGAACACACUUUACUGUAUUUGGUUCAACAAAGAAUACUUCCAUAAAGAAGAUGUGGAAGCUUGAAAGAUCUUGACAUUAUCAAACACUCAACUCAGAUGGUUCUUGAAGGAGAUUUCAUAAUUCUUGCAUGGCCUUGAGAAUGGUUUUCUUUUUCGAAACGGUUUCGAUGAUUUUGGAAGUACAAGGCUCUUAAAAUUUAUGUCAAUAGUAGGUUGGGUUAUGAGUUGUGUAGCUUGGAAGAGGAACAAAAGAUUAUCCUUCAUCAAUAAAUUAUUUGCAUGUAACUGUUACGUAAAAAAAAUGUUGGAAAUAGAUGUCACAUUUAAAGAAAUUACUGAAAAUUGUUUUACGAAAAUAAGAUAAUUUGGUAAAUUAAAUAUACGAAAUUCGUGUUGGAUUUAGAAUACGAAUUUUUAAAAAAAUGUAUAAAAAAAUAAAUUUCAUAACACUACCUACACAAUCCUUCCUUCAAACACAUCUUAUCAUAACCACACCAUAACCCUUCAUACAUAACUCUUCCCCCAAACACAUUUUAUCAUAAUCACCUCAUAACUCUUCCUACACAACCCUUCCUCCAAACACAUACUAUCAUAAUACUAGGUUUAUCAUAACACUAGUUUAUCAUGACACUAACCCUCUAUAACUCAACCCUUCCCUCAAACACACACUUAUUGAUCAAAGAUGGGGAUGAAAACACCAGCUUCUUUCACCAAAUUUGUAUGGCAAGUCAAAAAAGGAACUUCAUUUCGAAAAUCAAAGAUGAGACAGGAACUUCUCAUACGUCCAACAAGACGAUAGCAGAUACUUUCAUCAAGUUCUAUGGAGCUCUCUUUAAUGGAGGUAAAAAAGACGAUCUUUAUUGAAAAUCUAGACUAGAAGCCGAUCAAUGUUUCUUUCUAUUCCUCCCUCUGUCGCCCUUUCUUUGAGGAAGAGAUCAAAAAUAUAAUUUUCUCUUGCAAUAGCAACAAAGCUCCGGGAUCCGAUGGUUUUCCUUUUGGCACUCAAUCAAGAGUGAUAUCAUGAAGGUUUUCGAUGAUUUUCAUUCAAAAGGGAUCAUCAACAACACCUUCCUUGCUCUAAUCCCAAAAAGAACGUCUGCAAAAUGCCUAAGGAUUUUAGGCCCAUAAGUCUUACAACUUCAUUGUACAAGAUCAUUGCUAAAACUUUAGCCAACAUUCUAAAGCCCACAUUGCCAGAUACAAUCUCCAAAAAUCAGCUUGCAUUUGUUAAAGGUCAUCAAAUAACAGAUGCUAACCUUAUGGCCAAUGAAGCGGUUAACUUCUGGAAAGCUAGUAAAACAAAAGGAUUUGUCAUAAAGCUGGACAUUAAAAAGGCUUUCGACAAGAUAAGUUGGAGUUUCAUUAACUACAUGCUGCGUGUAAAAAAUUUUCCUCUCAAAUGGAGAAAUUGGAUCAAAGCUUGCAUAGGCAAUGUGGUUUACUCCAUCCUCAUCAAUGGCAAGCCCCAUGGCUGAAUUCCUGCACACAGGGGCAUUCGUCAAGGUGUUCCCAUUUCUCCCUUUAUUUUUGUUCUUGCCAUGGACUAUCUAAGCAAAGCUUUUAUUCUAUCUGGAGAAUAACAACUCGAUAAAGAGAGUCAAGUUCGACAACAAUUGUAGCUUAACUCAUAUUCUUUUUGCGGAUGAUAUCCUUCACUUUGUUGAAGACUAUGACGUUGCUCUGGAAAAUUCGAAUAUGGCUUUAACUUUCUCUGAAAAAGCUUCAGGACUAAACAUAAAUUUAUCAAAGUCCACUAUCUGUCUCAUAAACAUUUAAGAAGAAUGUUCAAGUGAGGUGGCUGCCAUAUGGAAUAUUCCUAUCCAACACUUACAGAUUCUUUAUCUUGGAGUCCCCCUAGGAGGCAACCCAAAGUCAGCCUCUUUUUGGGAAAAGGUUGAUAACAAAAUCAACAAGAAGCUCAAUAACAGGAAUUACUCCCAACUUUCAAAAGGUUGAAAACCCACUCUAAUUAACUCCACUUUAUAUAGCCUGCCAACCUACCAGCUGUCUGUAUUCCAAGCCCCAUCUGCUGUCCACAAAAAAAAUUGAAAAAUAUUGGAAACUUUUUGUGGAAAGGAUCCAACACGACAAAAGGUUCCCAUUUAAUUAGUUGGGCUAAAAUUACUACUCCAAAGGCCAAAGGGGGGCUUGGGGUGUCAAAGCUUUGGGACACAAAUUUUUCCCUACUUAGGAAAUGGUUGAGGAGAUUUCAUAAUGAGCCAAAUGCUCUUUGGAGGAAAAUCAUAUCAGAUAAAUACAAAGAAUCUCUUCUAGGAAAAAUCCCAACAUUGGGUAAGUUCAGCACUGCCAAAGCCCCUUGGAGGAGCAUUGUAAAAGGCCUAGAUUGGUUUGAAACAAACAUUUCGUGGGAAAUAAAUAAUGGAUAAAUGGUUUCUUUAUGGCAUAACAAGUGGAGUUCAAAUGGUCCUCUAGCCACUGCCUUCCCGAAACUAUACGCUCUCUCUCAAGCCAAAAACAGUUCUGUAAAAGAGAUGUGAAUUUCCUCGGAUAAGAAGUGGAAUUUAAAGCCGUGUAAGCCGCUGAAUGAUAGAGAAAUUGCCCUCUGGAAUCAGAUCUCUUUAGAGCUUCCUCGUCCAAAGGAAGACAAAGGCAUGUGAAAACCUACUUCGAAGCUGGAAAACAACAAGCUAUUCACCACGACUUCUGUCAAAAAGGCCAUCCAAUUUUCCCCUCUUAAUGGGAAUAAUGGAGUCGACCCACAGAUUUUCAAAAUUCUUUGGAAAUCUCUAUCUCAAAGAAAUGUAAAUUCUUCCUUUGGUCCAUCCUUCAUGAAAGUAUCAACACUAGGGAGGUUCUUUAAAGAAGAUUGCCAAAAACCUGUUUAAAUCCAAACUGGUGUGUUAUGUGCCACUCUCAUUGCGAAACAAGUGAUCAUUUACUUGUAAACUGUCGAGCAGCUAACUUUCUUUGGGACAACUUACGGAUUCAAACUAGGUAUCAUCAAUUGUUCAACGAUUUAAAAUAAGUUGCGCGGUCCCUUUCCCAUUUGAAUACUUCGAACAGAAGAAACAUUAUUAUUCUAAAUGCAACGAUAGCUAUCCUUUGGAGCAUUUGGACCGAAAGAAAUAGAAGAAUAUUUGCUAAUGAGCAAAAUAACUUAACCUCUGGGAAGACUGCUGUAAUUAUAUAGGUAUGUGGUGUAGCCGCCAUCACCUAUUCAAAGAUCAUUCUUCUAGUUCGUUAGCUCUCAACUUCUCCACUCUUCUACACUAAGAGCUUUUGGGCUUCUCUCUAGCCUUUUGUAAUUUCUUGACUUAUUAAUAAAUUCGGUGUCGGGAGUUUCAUACUCUUGACAUUAGUCUCCUUUUCCAAAAAAAAAAACCCAGCCAAAUUAGCCCUCCAUUCCUCACCGAAAGCUGAUUUAAUGGGUAUCUACAUAAUGGAGGAAAGGAACCAUAUUCAAAAAAGCACGCUUCAUUGGCUAAGAGAAGGGGGAUGAGAAUUCAGGUUUCUUUCACAGGCUCUUGGCUGCAAAGAAAAGAAGAAUCUUAAUAUCAGAAUGAUUCAAUGAGCAAAGGGAAGCAACCAAGUCUUUUCCAAAUAUAGAAAGAUUAAUUUUGGGGUUUUAUGACGACUUGUACAAGAAAAUUCCAGGGCCAAGAUACAUACCUCUAAUCUUUGAUUGGCCGUGUAUUACUCCAAUUCAGAAUGCGGCUCUUACUGCCAAUUUUACUGAAGCAGAAACAUUCAAGCUUUAAAAGCCCUUGGAAAGAACAAAGCUCUGGUUCUCGAUGGUUUCAUGGCUGAAUUCUUCUUAAAACAUUGGCAGCUGGUUAAGGAGUCUUUCACUGCCCUAUUUGAAGAUUUUUAAGAGAAUGGAAGGCUUAAUGCUAGUGUGCAGAAAAUUUUCAUUUGUCGACUGUGAAAGGAGGAGCGGACCUUGUAAAGGACUUCAGACCAAUCAGCCUCCCGACAUUACCUUGUAGCUAAAGUCUUGGCGGCAUGACUAAAAUCUGUUAUCACCAAUAUCAUCAGCCCCUCUCAAAGCACCUUCAUUGAAGGUAGGCAAAUCCUUGACCAGUCAAAUUGCAAAUGAAAUUGUGUAAGAUAACCGAGUUAAGAGGAAAAAAGGGUGGAUUUUGAAGCUUGAUCUCGAAAAGGCCUUCGAUCGUGUGGAUAGGGAUUUCCUUGAAAAAUUUAUGUACAGUAAGAAUUUUGACCAGGAAUGGAUCCCCUAAAUUAUGGGCUGUCUAAAAAUGCCAAGAUACUUUGUUCUCAUUAAUGGGAAGCCUCGAGGUCAUAUUUUUGCUUCUAGAGGAAUUAGGCAGGGUGAUUCCCUAUCCUCUUUCCUUUUCCUUUUAACAAGCGAGGUUUUGGGAGCCCUUUCGAACAAGCUAGCUGCAAACGGGCAUUAUGAAGGCUUGUAGCUGGUAGGGAGAAGGUACAAAUACCCAUUCUUCAAUUUGCAAACGAUACCCUUCUUUUUUGCAAGCAUGAUGAAAGCAUGCUAAUUAAAUUGAAGGACACAAUUGCACUCUUCGAAUGAUGUUCCGGGCAGAGAACUAAUUGGAAGAGGAUGAGCUGAAACUUAUCGCUGAAAAGAUGGGUUGUACCGGAAAGAAGAUGCCAUUUUUAUACUUACGGCUUCCAUUGGUGGGUUAUCCGAGACAAGCUACUUUUUGGCAGCCCAUGAUUGAUAAAGUGCAGAGGAAUUUAGACAAAUGGAGAAGAUUUAAUCUGUCAAGAGGAGGAAGAACAACUUUAUGCCAAUUCAUACUGGCUAGUCUCCCCACAUAUUAUAUGUCUUUGUUCGCAAUGCUGGACAACAUAGCCUCCUCUUUGAAGAGACUAAUGAGGAAUUUUUUAUAGGAGGGGCAUUCAGGAAGCAAAAUCAACCACCUAGUUAAAUGGGCUAAAGUUAUUCGGUGUCAACAUAAUGGAGGUUUGGGUUUGGGAGCACUGCAAAAUAAAAACUUGUCUCUUAUUGCCAAGUGGGGCUAGAUAUUUAUGAAUGAAGAGGAUUCUUUAUGGAGGCAAGCUAUCCAAACCAUCCAUGGAAAAGAACCAUUUAUCUGGCACACAGUUGGUAAUUCUGGUUAUAGCCUAGAAAGCCCUUGGAUUAGUAUCUCAAGAGUUUGGGGAAAGGUGGAGUCUGUAAAGAUACUACAGGUGUAACUUAUUAUAUUGAAUUUCCUCAACGAUUACAAUAUGAAAUUAAUCACAGAAACUUGUUCGCGAUGAUCCUUCAAUCAGAAACGCAACUAAUAACUACUGAAGUAAUCCUUCAAUCAGAAACGCAACUAUGAACUACGAUCAACAAUAAUAAUGAAAACUAAGAACAAACAAUAGAACCUGAACUCUCUGCUUUCCUUCCCGCGCAAGGAGGAAUGCAGCCUCUCUUCUUCUCCGAAAAUAUCUUUGAUUCCCUUUUUUCUCUUUCUUCCUCUUUUAUUCUAUUUUGCUAACUAACUACUGGGCCCCACCAGAAUGGUCCCCAUCUUCCUCCCUCUCUCCUGAACUCUCACAUGUGGCUUUAUUGUUAUUUUUAUUUCUUCUGCUGUAUUUAAACAAUAUUGGAGGCCUAGCAGAGUCCUUGGCCUCUUUCAAACUUGGUGAUGGCUCAGGAACUACUUUCUGGACAGAUGGGUGUAUUGAUAACCUUUCCCUUUGCAAUCUUAGGAUUGCUCUCUUGGUCUAUAAUCUUCAGAAGGUUUCUCAAAGAUAAUGAGAUUCUGAACUUUCAAAACUUGAUGACUCAACUGGUAACUAAAAGUGUUACAAGCAAUCUUUUAAUAGAAGGUUAUGGUCUUUGGAAGCUUAUGGAAACUUUACAGUCAAAUCUGUCACAAGACACCUCUCGGUUUCUUCUCCUUGUGACAAGGAUCUGCAUAAAGCUUUGUGAAAAUCCAAACACCUAAGGAGAGUAAACAUCCUCAUUUCGGUUAUUAUCUUUGGACUACUGAAUUGCGCUUCAGUCAUGCAAAGAAAGUUACCAAACAACUGCUUAUCACCCUCAAUAUGCCCACAAUGCAGCAAGAAGGAGACGAUUUACCGCAUCUGCUUUUUGCUUGUUCCUACUCUGAAAAUUGUUACUGGAAAUUCUUCUCAUCUUUUGUAGUAGUUUGGGCUUUUGAAGAUUCUUUUAGCCUAAAUGUACAGCAAGUUUGUUGGGGCCCAUCUUAAUUAAAAAUCCGAGGCUAAUCUGACCAAAAUUAUCGAAGGCUGUGCUAGCAGAAAUUUGGUCUGAACAAAACCAAAGGAUUUUCCACAACAAGGAAAUGCAUUGGUUAGAUAAUUUUGAGAUAGCUAGUAGGAACGUUGCAGCUUGGUGUACUCUCCAAAAAGACUCUGAAGCAUUCUCCAUUCAAGAAAUCAGUCUCAAUUGGCAGGCACUCAUUUUACCAAAUCAUUAGUAGUCACUUUCUUCAUGAAUGGUGGUCUGCAGCCACCACUGAAAAAUUAAUUGUUUUACUGAUUUGUACUGCUGCUGUUUUUUCGAUGUUGUUUGUAGUUUUUGUUUGGCUCCACAGCACAUGUUGUUUGUACUCUGGACAGACUUUAAUUUGUACUUUGGGUAUUAUUUUUGUUGGAUAUAAUGUGAGAGCACUAAGGCGGUGUCAACCUAGUUGAGAUGUCUGGGUGCACCUCCUAAUCCCUCUUGGUCUCCUUUGAUUACUAUUUCUUUUUGGCUCUCUUUGUCUGACUCUAACUCUCUUGUACUUUGAGUUAUUUUUAAUAAAGAAAUUCUUGUCUCCAUUUCAAAAAAUAUAUAAACCUUUUGUACCUUGAAAUACGUUAUUCUUAUCAAUAAAGAGGCUGGUUUCCUUUUAAAAAAAAAUUAGGGUUUAGGGUUACAACAACAUUGAAAAAUAAAAGCAAGAUUAUUGAGAAAACAAAAUUUUCUCAUCAACAUUCUACCUAAACACUAAAAGUCAAGAUCCUGGGUGAAAUUUACACCUAACUCCCAUGGUCUUCCUAUCAGCUAGCUAAUCUGCUAUCAGUGUAAAAUCAUGAAACUUCAUCGUAUUUGUUUACUGAACUUUGAUACCAAAGCUCCAAUAGAGUCCAUAAGGGUAAAAGUGGAAAUUUUUUCUAAGGUUUACAAUUUUAUAUGAGAUCUUAAAAGCCUGGACCAAAAACGUAUUGGAGCUUUGAUUUAUGGGGAUAAGGAUAUCAUUUGAUUCAAACACUAAUUACUUUGUUGUACAGCAUAUUACCUUCUAUUCUGCAGAGUGGCAGUAUUUAGAUCUGAAUUCCUUGUGAUUUUGCACCAUUCAUGUUUUUCAACAGAUGUGGAUUUUGUCUCCGAGAAGAUAACCGUCUCAUCAGAGUUUAUCUCAAUAUCCGCAUACAUUUUAUCAGUUGGAACUGGAAAAGAAAAAAAUAAGAUGGCUAAUUAACUUCAAAAAAUGAUGCCAAUAUAUAAUGCAGUAGUCUUUUUCAUUUCUUUAAUUAGAAAAUUGCAAUAGAUUAUAAACAUUUGAGUAUUUAGGGUUCCCAUCUAACAAGAACACUCGAGAACAACAAAGAAUAUAAAAAAAAUAGGAAGAUAGAAAUAUAAUUGUAAUAUCAAUGAAGAAACUAAAAUAUAAGAGCAAUAUCAAGAGGGCUACUCUCUCCCAAAUUCUCCACUGGAAAUUUUACUAAAACCUCCCACCUUCCUCCCCAUCCCACUCCCUCUAUUUGUAUCUAAAAGUCCUAAUCAACUUACUAGCUAUUACUAAUAUGCCCUUGCUCAUAUUCAUACCAAUAGUGCUAAUAUACCUCUAAACAAUGGCUCUCACAUAGUACUUCUCUUCUUGUUUGCAUUGUAUGCCAAGAAACACUUGGAGCUUGCAAACAUCUUAUAUGUAAUUUUUCAUUUUGUCAACGGAAAUUUUCCAUCUCAUUUCAAAAAGAAAAAAAAUUGAAGAAAUUAUAGAAACAUACCUAAGUACAUAUUAAAACAUGUGGAUUCAUAUAAACAUUUACUUAUCCUUUUGAUGAUAUUCAGUUUCUUAUAACAAAUGAAUAAAUAAUGGAUAAAUGUUUAUUCCAUAUUAAAAGGUCUUAACUUUUAAUUAAACUAUUUUUUCAUUUUUCUCCUUUAUAAGAAAGUAAAUGCCUCUAAACGUAAGCCUAAAAUUUUGUUCACUCUCCCACAUGUAAGCCUAAACUCAACAAAACCUUUCAACUUCAUAUUUGGUUAAAAAAGCAUAAACAAUAAAUUUCUGAACUUUAUAGUUAUUAGCUUAUGCUCAAGGAAUUGCUAAACAAUUAUGAUAGCGAACCUAGUGGUAUGUAAUAGAUAUUUUAAAAUUUUCCAAUAAAUUUAAAAAUAACUCUUUCAUAGAAAUUAUUAAUAACCAAUAUCUACAGUCUACUAAAAAAACCUAAAGAAUAAAGUAAGAAAAUGCACAAUCCAGGAACACACAAGACAAGUAUGAUGUAGCAUGACUAGGUAUCCUUGUAAUUUAGUUUUAAUUUGUUUUUUUCUUCUUUUUUUUUCUUUUGAUAAAACAACCUGCUUUCAUUGAGAAAAAAUAAAAGGAUACAUGGGCAUACAAAAACAACCAGCCCACCAAAACACCCCAACUAGCCGAAGGGGGACCGACUAAGUAUUGAGAACUAACAGAUAACAAAUUAAAAUCAACAAAUUCAAACUAAAAUAAAGGGGUAAUCUCUUGUAAUUAAAAUACUGUUUGAAUAACAGUAACAGCUUGGUUGAGUAUUCUUCGAGAUUAUUCACUUAGAUGCUAGAUUACAUCAUUUUUUGGUAUUAGAGGAAGAAAAAUAGCUAUUCAAGAUAAGUGGUAGCAACCAAAAUUCCAACAUAGGAAAUUGAGAGAAAGGCUUCUUGAAAGGAAAUCAUCCCAAAGGUGUAAUCUUGAUAUUAAGAUCUGUAAAUGACAAUAAACGAUUGAGAGGCUUUUUUUUAUGGUCAAGUUAUAGCUUUCCCUCUUUCUAUUUUGCAAUUUUCUUCCACUUGCAACUUUUGUUUUCCCACGUCUACACAUUGUAGUCUUUGAAUCCUUGUACUCUUUUAUAAAUUUUCAAUCAUUUGUGAAAUUUUGUGUUUCUUGUUUUUUUUUCUAAUAUAAAUACAUAUAUUUUAAUGACAAAUAUGUUCAAGAAUAAUUUUCAAUCCACCAUCAAUUUUAAUUCAUGCAAAUCCAUGAUCGUAUUACAACUACCUUGUUCAUGGAAAUUGAGACAAACUUUAAUGUAAUCAUUUCCUCAAGGGUAUGGGAAUCCUUCUAAGAACGUGAAAGCUUUAUCCCGUCACUUUUUCAUGUUAAAGUAAAAAAAUUUUGAGAAAAUUGGAAUGGAAGAUAUAUAGAUUUUGAGCUAUAAAUUCAGAGAGGUUAAAUAAACUUUGAUUCAUUUGAUCGUUUUCGAUGACUAGAUGUGUUCUUUGCAUGGAUGUUCUUGUAAAAUUUUCCCAUGCUUUCUGUGAUCAUUUAAGUUAAGUGGGAGAGUACGAUUCCUAAUCGUUCUUUUUCUCUUCCUCUUGUAUAUCUUUCAUCAAAAUAGAAAUUCUUUAAUUUCUAUACUGUCUGCCUAUUUCCCUAAAAUGAAUUUAAAACACCGAAAGAAACAUUAGUGAGACAAUUACCUUCUACUAUGUAAAUCAUACUGCUAACAGUUCAUGAAAUCAAAUACAAAUGAAACAUUGAACUUCCAUCAUUGUCAAACCUAGUUCAACUCCCGUACCAUCAAAAUCAUUUCCUCGAUGACAUUAUCUUCCCCAGUAAUUUCAACCCAGACUUCAAACUGAAGAAAACUUUUUCAGGAUAGUAACAAAUUUUUGUUUGCAAAGAAUGCAAAAAAAAAAUUAUAAAAAAAAAAUGCCCAACUCUCAAAUGCUGAGCAAAAGCAAAUGAAACAGAGAAUCCACUAAUGCAAAACGGAUUAGCCAUCGGAUCAGUCAAACAAGAGACAGACUGAUGAAGAACUCAGGGAGGAGGGACAUGGGAAGAUGAAACAUACUUAGCUUCGCCCAGUUUUCCAUGGAUGAAUUUGAAGCAGAGCACUCUCCAAUUUCCGCCAUACCGCCAGUAGGAGAAGGAGAAGAUUGAGAAUUUUGAAAUGAAACAAUUUUUAUUGACAAAUACAAACACCCAAAAGCUUAAAAGAAAGUUAUGAAGCUUUGCGGAGGAAGGUGUGGAGUAAACGGCUGAUGACUUCGUCCUACGUGGACGCACGUAUUAAAUUUACUCAAACUAUUUAUUUAUUUUAUAUGUAGUGGGUGCAAUUUCUACUUACAAAAUUCAUCUAAUUUCAUAGAGUUUUUUAAAACUAUUUUACUAUAUUUUAUAAAUAGUUUUAAUUUUAAAAAAUUGGAAGGAAUAGCCUAGUUAUAAAUUGAUAUUUCAUAAAUGUCAUAAUCUUAAAUAUUCUUUUUUGUUACGAGAUUUACUCUUAUAAUUCAAUCGAAUUUAUGGUUAUGUUUAAAAAUCUAUUUAUUAAAAACAUAAUUAUUUCUCAUUAUUUGAUGGAAAUAAAUAUUAAUGAUGUCUAGUAGGAGAGAUGAAUUUUGUAUUUUGCAUUAAUUCUACAUUUUCAUUCUUAAUAUAUAAUUCGAAGAUGAGUGACAUGUCACUCCAACCAUGCCCCAAUAAUGUCACUUAUCUUCUAACACUCUUAAUAAAAUUUCUUCUUACCUUCCUUUCACCAAGGCUACUACAAGAAUCUUUAAAAGACUUUAAGGAUCCCAAGGUUUUAGGUUUCAGUAGCUGAACAAUGACAACAACAAAAACAAAGGAAGGAAUAAGUGGCUAAAAUGAAGUGAGCUCAAAUAAUCUUUCCACUUUGUGAUUCGUUCUAAUCAUCUAUCUCGUUUGUGGAUCAUGAACUUGACAACCAUGAGAAGAGAAAGGCAAUUAAACCAAAAUCACGUAAUUAUCCAACAGACACAAGAUUAAAGAGCAGGAUAAAAGUAUGGUAAGUCUUGGACAAGUUUAUGGCAGGACUAUCAACAAUGCCAACAAAAGAAAUUAACAUGUGAUUACCAUUAGCGAGGUACUCAUUGACAGGCACCGUCUCUUGAUUGGUGAUGACUAAAGCAUUGUGUAAUUAGCAGUAGUGAGCUAAGCCUAUGGUUUGAAACCGUGCAACAAAAAAAUCCUAAAGCCCUUUCAUAGUGUUGAAAGCAUCAAAAUGAGUAUGGAUUGAGGGGAUAGAAGUAUUACCUAAUCAGGUGGUGAUUUGAUGAUUUUUGUUGUCCCAAUCAUUCAGCAAACUUAUCCUCUUCCUCAGUCGUCCCAAUCGUUCAGCAAACUUACCCUUUUCCUCAGUCUCAAUUGUUCAGGGGUGGUUUCUUGGCUAGAUGGGUUUUGGUUUUCGUGGUUUGUGGUUUGUGGCCAGAUGGGUGGUUUCAAGGUGGUAGGUGGUUUCAUAGCCAAAUGGGUUUGGUUUUACAGUUAUAUGGGUGGUUUCAUGGCUUGCUCAGAUGGGAUUAAAACAAGGGCUCUUAUCACAGCCCGCCCCACACGCGACUUGAAGCUUAUUAUACUAUACGCGGUAUAACUUUGAGCAGUCCUAGUGCCUCUAAGGUGAAACGCUAAACCACUCAGCUUAGGUUCUAAGUCUUGAUACUUGGCUUUAUUGCCUAACUCAAAUUUAAGUCCAUUUAACUCACUAAGCGAUAAAGAAAACAUAACACAACACAACUAACAGAAACUUAAACUUUUAUUAACUUAAACCAUGAGUUCUACAUCAAGCUUUACAAACUAAGACUUUACAAACUACAAAACUAAAACAACUUGAACUAAACGUGUAACGCCCUAAACAUAGGAUUUGAACUAGGAUUCAAAAUUCAGAUCUCGACAUUCCCUGGCAGCAUCAUCCAUACUGUCUUAGGCAAAAUGAAGUAACGGUGAUACUUAUAUGCUUGAACAUGGUUAGACUUAAUUAGGCUAUCAAAACGAUUUUGGACUUAAUGGUAUAUGUGAUGUCUUUUGUUUCAUAAAUGUUCUAAGAGUUACAUGUGAUGUAAUUGAUAAGGUUGUCUACCUAAAUAGCUUGAUUUUAAGUGUCAUGCCAAAGUUGACUUGAAAUCUUGGUUGUCUACCUAAAUAGCUUGAUUUUAAGUGUCAUGCCAAAGUUGACUUGAAAUCUUGGAUCUUAGUUCACCAAAUUAAAUUCAUUAUUAUGAAUUAUCAUUUGAGGGUAUGACUUUUUUUUUUUUUUUUUUGCAAAGGUAUUGUAAUAAAUGCUGGGGUGUGGAUUUGAACCUGAAACCUCUUGUCUAUAAGAAUAUAAAGAUGUCAGUUGAGCUAAGCUCAUAUUAGUGGGAGUAUGUAAUGCCCCAACUCUUUGUACUAACUUGAGGUCGUUACCGUAAAGAUAAAUAACAAUUUUGACAAUUUCUUAGUUCACCAAAUUAAAUUCAUUAUUAUGAAUUAUCAUUUGAGAGUAUGAUUUUUCAGUGGGAGUAUGUAACACCCCAACUCUUUGUACUAACUUGAGGUCAUUACCUUAAAGAUAAAUAACAAUUUUGACAAUUUCUUGAAAAUAGUAAAACUAAAUUUUAGUUAAAAAAUACCAUGAAAGCAUGUUGCAGCUUGUUUACAAAUUUUAAAGAUAAUAAGAAUAAAUAGAUCAAAAUGUUUAACUGAAAAACGAACAAUGAAAAGUGGAAGCAAAACUAAGUCCCCAUAUGACAUGUCACGAGCCAAUGUGCCUCUACCCUUAGCCUUCGUGCAACUAUUAAUUCUUCACCACGAUGCUUCUCCAACUCCAUCUUAGUUCGCGCUGGAAACAAAUACGAGCUGUAAGCAUCAAUCCCAAGCCACACGCGCCGAUCUGCGCUCUUUGUCGAGUUGUUUCUUGCCCUUAGCCAUUGUUGAUAUAAAUCCUUGGUGAGUUUUGAUUGGGUUUAGGUAUACCCAUCAAAUAUUAAAUAUUGGUCUAAAAUAAAUUUACUUUGGAUUAAAGUUUUCUUUUUCCUUGAAGGUGUUAUUGGGGAAAUAACCCCCGAAUUCUUGAGUUUACGAGAAGUUUGGUUUGGAGUUCAAUUCUCCAUUUACUUGGGUAACUUGUGGAAUUCACAUUUGGGUGAAUUGAAUGAAGGAAUUUGUUUGUGAAAGUGAUUUGAUUUUCUGUUUAAUUUUGUUUUGGUUGGUUUGUUUGGAUUUUUGUUCAAACAAGGAAUUUAGCUAAGCUCAAGGUAAGAGAUUUCUACUACUGGACCUUAUAUUGAACUUGGAAUGUAUUGACUAAAAGGGUAUGAUUGUUGUGCAUAAGCUUGGUUGUAUUAAUGACUUAUUACGAUGAUGAUUGGAUAUGUACUAGUAUGGUUAAUUUGACUGCUUAUGUGUUGAACUGAAAUAUUGUGGAUAAAUUGGAAUGUAUUUAUGAGUUGAUUGUAUUUGACUGUUUAGACUGGAUUGUGAUUAUCUAAACUGAGGGGACGUUUAUCUAUGGGGUAGUGUAUCUUGCAGGCACAGUGUCUUACGAGAUCACCACUUAUUGUGCAUCAUUUGGGAUCACUAGACUGAUAUUUGAAUCCUUCAUGAUCACUCGACUGAGAUGUGCAUCAUUCAUGAUCACUCGACUGACAUGUGCAUCAUUCAGGAUCACUCGACUAAUAUGUGCAUCCUUCGGAAUCACUAGGCUGAUAUGUUUAUCCUUCGAGAUCACUAGACUGAGAUGUGCAUCCUUCAGAAUCACUAGGUUGAUAUGUGCAUCAUUUGGAAUCACUCGGCUGAUAUAUGCAUCCUUUGAAAUCACUAGUCUGAUUGACUUGCAUCCUAUGGGAUCACAAGACUGUUAUGAUGCAUGGUACCUCCUAAUAGGAAGUUAACAAUUAUACCUCUAACGUGACCAGUAUUAGGUCGCUUACUGCGUAUACUUUUAUACUCACCCUUUUAUGUUUAACUUUUUUAGGAAAAGAUAAUAUAAGAGGUAGACCGAUGAGGGACAAGGACUCGUGAAUGCCAGAAUAUUUAUAAAAAAAAAUGCUUACACUUACUGUUGUAAUGUUUUACCCCUUUUAAACUUUGAUGAUUGAAAUGAGUUUCAUGUUUAGAACAAUGAUUUUUUUCUUGGUGACCUGAAAUACAAUACUUUUGAACUUUUAAUUUUGUUUGAAGUAAGCCCGAAUAAAGUUUCUUUUAUGUUUAUUUGUUUUUAAACAGAUUUUUAUGAUCUUUUGUGUUAAAACGAAGUUGUUUUAUGUUAAAGUAAUGAUCUCAACUUCAUUUAAAAAGUUGGAUCGUUACAGUUGGUAUCAAAGCCUAAGUUUUAGGUUAUAUAUACUGACUUAUGAUGUAAGUUUAUGCUUAGGGUCUCUAUGACUAAAACAAUCCUUCGUCACUAUUCAGGUACACUUUCAUGAUUAAUAUGUUUGGUUUAUGUUUAUGACCUUGCCUAAGUUAAACUAGAAUUACAUGAAUGUUAUGAUUUAAUGGUGAAGAAUUUGGUGGUGAAAUUUAAGAAAAAUGUCUCCACGAAAGGUGCUCGAAUAGGUGGUCGAGUAGGCAGAGGAGUAGGACGUAAUCAACUUAAUUGACUGUUUUGUGCUAAAAAUCUAAGAAAUAAGUUAUGUUGUUGGUUUUAAAGGGAACUAAAUACAUGGUUAAGCUUGAGUAUAACAAUUGCAUUGGAUUGUGUUUAGAAUUAAGACAUUGGGGAAGAAACAUGCAAAGAAAAGUUUAGUGCAUAGUUGUCUUGAUGAGACUUCAAGAAACCAUUUUGAGCCUACUAUGAAGAAAACGUUACUAGCUUGAAAUUUGAAAAUGAAAUGUAAUUUUUUUAUACAUGCAAUUAUAGACUGUUUCAGCUAAGAGGUAGUUUUAAUCCUCCUACAGAGGCUAGUUUAAAAAACAACGGGAUUAGGACUGUGGUCCUAUCCAAAGUCAUUUAAGCUAUGAAAGCUAAUAAGCUGCUCAACCAGGAUACCUGAAGUAUCUUGGCUAGUAUUGUAGACACCGAGAAUGCUGAUGUUUCUUUGACAUCAGAACUUGUGGUGAGAGAUUAUUUGGAUAUUUUUCCAGAGGAACUUCCAUGUUUUCCUCCUCAAAGGGAGAUUAACUUUGCCAUUGACUUAGAACCAGACAUUGUUCCUAUAUCUAAAGCUCCAUACAAAAUGGCCCCAGCAGAGUUGAAAAAGUUGAAAGUGCAAUUGUAGGAAUUGCUUGACAAAGACUUCAUUCGACCAAGUGUUUUACCUUGGAGUGCACUAGUUUUGUUUGUUAAGAAGAAAGAUAGGUCGAUGCGCUUAUGUAUUGACUACAGAGAGUUGAAUAAGAUGUCUGUUAUGAACAAAUAUCCUUUGCCUAGGAUUGAUGAUUUAUUUGACUAGUUGUAGGAAGCCACAAUACUUAUGUUGUCAUGAGCAAAACUUCCGUACUUAUGAUAUGGAAUUAACAGCAAGGCACUACUUGUAUGAUGAGAAAGAUACAGAUCUUUAAGGACCAUAAGAGCUUGAAAUACUUCUUCACUCAGAAGAAGUUAAACAUGAGGUAUCGAAGGUGGGUUGAGUUAGUAAAGGAUUAUGACUGUGAGAUCUUGUAUCAACCAAAUAGCAAGAAUGUUAUAGCUGAUGCUCUACUUAGUACGAAGGUAUCACAUUCAACAACACUUUUACUAGACAGGCUCCAUUGCACCGAGACUUUGAGAGAGUUGAGAUUACCAUUUCAUUAAGGGAAGUCACCUCACAUUUAGCUCAGUUGUUAGUGUAGUCGACUUUGAGGCAGAUAAUUAUUGUUGCUUAGCGUAAUGAUUCUUAUUUUGUUGAGAGGGGCUACCUGGUAGAAUCAGGAAAGCUGAUGAGUUCUCCAUAUCCUCUGAUGAUGUGCUUUUGUUUGAGGCGAUUGUGUGUGCUAGCAUAUAGUACAGUUAAGAUAGAUUUUUUUACUAAAGCUCGUAGUUCCCCAUUUUCCAUGCAUCUAGGUAGUACAAAGAUGUACUAGGACUUGAAACGAGUUUACUGGUGGCGUAAUAUGAAGAGAGAAGUGACGGAUUUUGUUAGUAAAUGUUUGAUGUGCUCACAGGUUAAAGCAUCGAGAUAGAAACCAGUAGAUUUGUUGUAACCUUUGAGUGUGCCAGAGUGAAAGUGGGAGAAUGUGCCUAUGGAUUUUAUUAUAGGGUUGCUUAGAACCUUGAAGGGUUAUACAGCGAUUUGGGUUGUUGCUGAUAGGCUCAUGAAAUCAUCAAAUUUUAUUCUAGGGGAAUUCACUUAUAUUGCUAGUAAGUUGGUAGAGCUAUAUUUGACUGAGAUAGUGAGACUGCAUGGAGUGCCUGUAUUGAUUGUUUCUGACAGAGAUGUCUGUUACACUUCUAAGUUCUAGAAAGGACAUCAGACUUCCUGGACACGGGGUUGGAUGUCUGUACAACUUUUCACCAACAGACUAAUGGUCAAACUGAGCAUUUGAACCAAAUUUUGGAGAAUAUGCUACGAGCUUGUGCAUUGGAUUUUCCUUGGAGUUUGGACUCUCACUUGCAUUUGAUGGAGUUUGUGUAUAAUAACAGUUUUUAGGCUAUCAUUGACAUGACAUCGUCUGGUGAGAAGAGAUUGAUGGGUUCUGAGUUAGUUCAAUCUACUAACAACACUAUAUAGAAGAUUAGAGCACAUAUGCAGUCAUCACAGAGUAGACAGAAAAGUUAUGUGAUGUAAGUAUAAAGAUCGUAAGUUUGAUGUGGGAGAUUAAGGUGUUCUUGAAAGUGGCACCUAUGAAGGGUGUUCUACGAUUUGAAAAGAAUGGGAAGUUGAGUCCUUGUUUUGUUGGAUCGUUUGAGAUCUUAAAGCGAAUUGCCACCAUCACUCUCUGUUGUUCAUGAUGUUUUUCAUGUUUCGAUGUUGAGAAAGUACGUCGUAGAUCUAUCUCAUGUAGUAGAUUACGAACCAUUGAAGAUUGAUGAGAGUUUGAGCUAUGAAGACAACCAAUUAAGAUUUUGGCUAGAGAGAUAAAAAUGUUUUGUAACAGAUGAAUUACUUUAGUAAAAGUUUUGUGGCGGAAUCCAAUGGAAUAUGCUACAUGAGAGAGAGAAGAUGAUAUGUGAGCUCGUUACCCAGAGUUGUUCGAGGAUUAGAACUUUCGAAGACGAAAGUUUCUUAAGGAAAGAAGAAUGUAACACCAAAAAAAUUUGAGGUAGUUUUUCUAACUUGUUCGUCUCAUUUUAUUAGAUUUUUAUAUGUUUGGGUGUUAAAUUGUUGGAGGCUGGUAAGGAAAAAAGGAAUAUUUUGUUAAAAGGGAAAAGAAAAAGGAAAAGGAAAGGAAAAUGAUAAUAUUAAUAAUAAUAUAAUUUUUUAUUAUUACUAUAAAAAAUAAAAAAGAAAUAUAUCAUUUCGUAUGCCAUCUCUUUCCCUCACUCUCCCUCUUCUUCUUCUCCUCAUGACCUAGCCGCCCAUUAAGGAUCUCACCGAUGUUUGUCUUUUGCUUUCUUGGCGUCGUUUACAGUUCAAGUCCCGACGAAACUUGGAGGAGUUUGAGUCACAUUGUGCAAAGUUGUUCGACGUUGGUUGCAAGCUGACAUCCUUCUUCGUUUGUGCAUCGUUUCUGUUCUCAGUUCGUCUAAGAUCUACCUCACCACUGAAGAGUCGUCGCUGUAGCUAUUCAUUGUGCCUCGUUCUCUGUCGUAAAGCACCACCCUCGUGUAGCCGUUCUCCGUCGUUACGCUUCUCCAACUCUGUCUUAGUCCACGCUGGAAACGAAUUCGAGCGUCAGAUUUAGUCCCAAGCCACACGUGUCGAUCUACUCCUUGCUAAGCCAUUUCCUGCCUUUAGCCGUUGUUGAUCACUCCUUGGUGAGUUUUGAUUGGGUUUAGGUAUACCCAUCAAAUAGUAAAUAUUGGUCUCUAAAAUACAUUUACUUUCUAUUAAAGUUGUAUUUUAUGUUGAAGGUGUUAUUGGGGAAACAAUUUGGGUUCACGACAAGUUUGGUUUGGAGUUCAAUUCUCCAUUUACUUAGGUUAUGUUCAAUUCUCCAUUUACUUAGGUUAUGUUCAAUUCUCCAUUCAAUUCUCCAUUUACUUAGAUUACUUGUGGAAUUCACGCCCAAACGAAUUCUCCAUUUACUUAGUAACUUGUGAAAUUCACGCUCAAACGAAUUCUCCAUUUACUUAGUAACUUGUGAAAUUCACGCUCAAACGAAUUCUCCAUUUACUUAGUAACUUGUGAAAUUCACGCUCAGUAAAACUUGUGGAAUUCACGCUCAAACGAAUUCUCCAUUUACUUAGUAACUUGUGAAAUUCACGCUCAAACUCUUAGAUUUGACUUUUUUCUAUCUCUACUAUCAAUAUAAUUAAAUAAUUCCAUUUGACUAUUACUUAACUAUAUAAUUCCAAACUCUUAUUAAAUAUGUUUAUUAUGUAUUAUUUAAAUUUAUACUAGCAAAAUUGUUAGUAAAUUAUUUAUGAUAUAAUGGUAUAACUAAUUGAGCAACUAAAAGAUAUAUAUUCCAUUAUCACGGAGAAAGUUGGUGCAAUCUCGUGCAUCAAUAAAAUCCUAUAUCAAUUUACUUAGGAUUUAAUAAUGUUGAAACAUGGUUUGUAAAAUACAUUGUAUUUUUCAAAUCUGCACGAGCUGUCCCAUGAUGGAUUCAUUAAAAUACAUUGUCUAUGAAUUACCCUAGAAUUCAGUAACUGCACGCAUCCGUCGUUUGGUAAAUAUGUUAUUUCCAUCGGUUUUUGCUAUACUUUCAGAUGCUAUCUUAAAAUUUGCUAUUUCCCUACCGUUAUCUCUAAGGUUUAGCUUUUGUUGUGACGACAUGGUAAAAUUUGAUUUGGUCCAAGUUUCUCAUUUAACAAGUAUAUCAAUCAUGUUUCACUUUGUGUUGAUGGUAUGUGUUUUUUUGCAUGUACAUUAUUAUUAUUAGACUGCAUAAAAAGAAACGCAGCAAUGAUGAACACAAAAUGACUCAAGGUAGAUAAGUAUUUGGUAUUUUACUUAUACCAAUGCUAAUAUAUUGUUGAUAGAUAAUUAAAGACAUUGAGAGUACACUUAUUUAGGCAUAUAUUGUGAAGUAGAGAGAUGAGCCUCAUAUUAAUGUUUCUCCUCGUACUGGAGAACAGGUUCAAAAGAUUGGAAGUUAUACACUACGCCUAAGGGUCGGAUAGUCGUAGAUGCCGACACCUUGACCUUAUAUGUCCAAUUUAUUUUUCCAGCGUUUAUAGCCUCCAACACAAGCUCAUAUACUGUCCCUCCAAGAGGAGAAAAUGGGUCAACAAAUCCUGCAAAUAAACCAUUCACCACACGCACGAACUUCAGAUUUUCACCUGUUUUCUUGUUAUGGUCAUCCACUGUUAAGUUUCCUAUUUCUUGCACUUGCGGAUCAUUGAUAUCCUUAAUCGGUUCAAAAGGGGAUGUGAACGACAUUUUUAAUGGCUUUUUUAAUUUGUACUUGGAAGAAACUUUCUAAGGAUGAUUUAUGC